Molecule: long non-coding RNA, 52183 nt
Filed under: Physcomitrium patens
Lineage: Eukaryota; Viridiplantae; Streptophyta; Bryopsida; Funariales; Funariaceae
Description: long non-coding RNA (PPAT_LNC010382)
Source: RNAcentral
CCAACAAAAACUAUUGUUUGUUUGUUAUUGCAUCAAUUGGUCUUUUUAAUGAAUUGUCAAAAUAAAUCAAACAUGCAUUUAUAAACUCUCUUCCUUCCAAACUCAAAUAAUCAUGAAUAAUUAAAACAAAAUAAUUCCAUAAACUAACAAUUCAUAAAUUUCUAAUGACUUAAUUUGACAAACACAAUGAUUUAUUACAAUGCCAUAUCAUAAAUCAAAUACAAAUUGUGUGUACACAAAAUGCAUGUGUCAUGAUAUUUUGUACUCCAUCUACACACCAAAACCUUCUCAUGUUUGUACAAUCUCAAUCUAUACACAUUUACAUCAAGCCAUGUAAACACAAAAAUACAAAACAAAACAAAACAUCACUAAACAAACAUCAUACUGUUGACUAUCUUGUGAAUGUACAUUUCAUAUGUAUUGUUCAACCACCCCAAACUUUAAAAUGGGUCAAAUCUACAAUGCCUAAUUCAUUUUCAUCAAAGUUUAUUAAACUAAGAAUUGCAUUCUAUUUGCCCUUUCAAAACAAAGCCAUCCAUAUUCUUCCUAGUCCAUGAGACUUUCAUCCACCUCAUUUUAUGCUCAAACAACUAUAAAAGAGGACAAUAAAAACAUCUGCACAUACUUACUUAGCAACAAUACAACACAAGAAAGAAAGACAAAAAGAAAGAGUACAUCUUCACAUGUCAUUCAUCCAUCUUCUAAGCAAAUUCAACCCACAAACAAGCACCAAAUAUUGAUGACUAAAUAGGUCCUUUUCAUGAUUCUUCAAUACCACAAAACCAUAUCCAACAGCGCGUGGGAGAGAAAACAAUAAAAUCAACAGUUAAAAUAAGAUCGAAUACAAAAAAAAAACAAAACAAAAAAAAACAAACAAACAAACAAACAAAUACAUAAUCCCAAGGCACUCAUUCAUGGAAUGUUCUUGUGCCGGAAUCUCUUCUCCACCCCCAACAUCAAUUUCCCUCCCUCCCGUCCUUCCCCCUUCCCUCCAACAUGCGAAAGCGCAACAGCCUCCGCAGCUUCGGGGCUUGUCCCGGCAAGUUGGGUCGGAGGUGCUUUCUCAGGUAUAAAAAACACGCGGGAUCCAGCGAAACGCUCGAUUGACCAGAUAUCGGAGAAAAGCACAGCGGGUCGAGACCUGCAACGACGAAGUGAAGCCCCCUCACGUUCAGCGACGUCGUUGUGCUGUGCGCCGCCUUUCGACAUUACAGCACCGCGUGCAGCGAGACCUGCUGCCUGGCGCACGGCCUUGAAUCCUUCCGGCGUAUAAAAGAGCUGUGCAGCCCAUGGCUUCCCAUCGCUCCAUUCACCAAGCACUCUCCAAGCCCCUACACAUCAGUGCGGCCACGACUCUUCUUGUUGCUCAAAUUCCCCAGGACAGGACAAGACAGCUCAGGACACGACAAGACAACCCAGCGAGCAACACCCGAGAGGGGACGGGAUUCCCAACCAACCCCAGCGGUGAACGAUCGUUGUCACGCAGUGGGCGCACAAUGGAGACGCUUGCCAAGCGCGUCGUGUUCGUGGCGCUCCUCGUCCAGGCCGCUCUGCUACCGAUGCUCUCCAUGGCGGCUGACGCCGAUCCCAUCCAGGACUUCUGCGUCGCAGACGCCUCCAGCACGCUCACCAUCAACGGUCUGGUGUGCAAGCCCGCGGCCGACGUGAAGGUGAACGACUUCCUGUUCAGGGGCCUCGACAAGCCCGGCAACACCGGCGGCCCCACUGCCAACGCCGUCACGCCCGUGGCCGCCGCUCAGCUCCCCGGCCUGAACACUCUGGGCAUCUCCCUGGCUCGCCUGGACUUCGCCAAGGGCGGCAUCAACGUACCCCACAUCCACCCUCGCGCCACCGAGGUCCUGGCGCUGCUGCAGGGGGAGCUGUACGUCGGGUUCGUCAGCACCACCAACAACACGCUGUUCGCCACCACGCUGUACGCGGGCGACGUGUUCGUGUUCCCCAGAGGGCUGGUCCACUUCCAGCUCAAUGUGGGCAAGGGCGCGGCGGUGGCCAUCGCGGCGCUCAGCAGCCAGAACCCGGGAGUGCAGCAAGUGGCGCCGGCGCUGUUCGCAGCCAACCCUCCCAUCAACGACGAGGUGCUGGAGAAGGCGUUCCACCUGAACCAGAACCAAGUCCAGCACAUCAAGGCCAGCUUCGUCAAGGCUUGAGCGUCACCACACAGCGCCGUCCAAUUGCUCUCGUACCUUUGAGCGCACGCGCAUCCAGGAGGUAGCGCAUUGCAACGCCUCGGAUUCGUCCCAAACCGACUGCACGCGCAGCUGGCAUGGCAUGGAGGCCGCGCGUCUGAGCACCACAACAGCACGAAGCAUAUGUACGCCCUGUUAGUUGUAGUUGAGGCUGUAGUGAGUGGAGAAGUAGGCUAGGUUUGCGCCAGAGUCGACGGCCGUCGCUGCGAACUGAGCUGUCGGCGUUGUUCUAUAGCCUAGCCUAGUGUAGUGUGCAUUCAUCGUGGGGCGACGUUGUGUCUCGCUUUCACGCCCUCCAUCAGCCAAGAUUCUAUUCAACCAAGUGCUGGCAUCACACCUGGGAUCCCAUUCCGGCCUUCCUUGAGCUGUUGUUUUGUGCAUGAUUGUGGGAGUGGACAAGAAGACUAGUCAAGUGUGAUGCAUAUGAUCGGUACGCUUGUGGUGGGUGCAACGCUUGGGAUUGGAGUAGUGCUUCGGAUUUCGUGAAUCAAGCGAUCCGGGUCCAGGGAAUUGACAAAGCCGGUCACAGGGGAACGACAGAAGUGUCUGGGGAGAAACGAUGCUGCUCCUCCAUGUGUCACAAUCUGGAUGUGGGUAAGAGCAUAUUUGAAAAAAUAAAAUUAAGCGUAUCUUUUUGAGAUAUGUUAUUUAAAUCAAAGUUUAUAGAUUAUUCGAUUCCAUACAUUGUAAAAUUUGAAUUAGUCAAAAUAUAGUAAUUGAUGGAAUUCUAAUAGGUUUUAAAUAUAUAUAAAGAAAUAUAAUUCCACUUGAAGAAGUAGGUCUAUUUUUUGAAAUAAUAUUGUCAAUUGAAGAUACAACUUAUAUAAUAAACCAAUAAAUAAAUUAUCAAAGUAACUUACUUAUAAGUCUUGAUUUUGUAGAAGAAGUAUAUACAUACCUUGAAACAAAUACAGCACAAGUAGAUGGUGUUUUUAAGACCAUCUCAUGUAAUGAAUCUAAUGCACCUAAGAGAGUUCUUCAACAAACAAAUAAAAAAUACAAUCAUUAUUACAAAUAUCUUAUAGAAAUAAAAAACCUAAUCCAUGAUUCAAAGAUAGCUACAUAUUCAUGGUUAAAAUAGAAUAAGAAGCAAGAAGCUACAAUGAAACAAUUUAAAAUAUUGGAUGGCAAGAUGCAAUCAAAUAAGAAGUAAAAUCUGUGUAAAAAAAUAAUAUUCAGAGUUUAAUGAAUCUACCUAAAGAAAAAAUCUCAAUUUUGGCAAAGUUUAUAUUCAAGACAAAAUUAAGACCAACUAGCAAUAUCAGAAAACUUAAAACUAUGAUUGUAGGUUGUGACUCUAAAUAAGAAGAAGGAAUAGAUUUCUUCCAAAUCUUUGUCUAUUUGGUUAGCUAGACAACAAUCAAAAUAGUCAUAUCACUAGCAAUAAGGGAAAAAAAUUAGAAAUUACAACACUUAGAUACUAAAAUAAUAUUUUUUGACAAAAUAUUCAAAAACAAAGUACAUAUGUUCCAAGUUUCAAAAAAAAUGAGAGUAAAGAAAAGUUUGUAAAUUAGAAUUGGUACUAUAUUGACUACAUUAGGCCCUCAAAGUUUAGUAUGGAUGCAUUGAUAACUAUCUAUAAGUUCAAAAUCUACAAAAGAACAAUAAAGAUCCUAACAUGUACUUCAAAAUCUAAGAUAUAAACUAUACAAUCGUAUUGCUCUAUGUAGAUGACAUAAUAGUUACAAAAAAUGAUACAAUAGACAUCUAGGUAUUCAAAGGAAGACUUAUAAAUACCUUUAAAAUGACAGAUUUGAGAGGAAAAAAACUUUACUUAAAAGUUAAACUAAAGCAAUUUGUUGAAAGAAUCUAUUUUCUUAAGAAACAUUACAUCUUAUUGGAUAAGUUUGGAUUAAUUCAUUGUAAAUCUUCUUUGAUACCAAUGGAUCCUAGAACAAAGCUAAAAUAGAAUUGAAACUCUCACAAUCAAUAAAAAACUAUAUCAAAAUCUUGUGGAAGAUUAUUCUAUACUAUAAUUAGUUACUAUAAUAUCUAAUUUGUAAUAGAUAAGGCAUUAAGAUUUAUCAAUAAUCCUCAGCUUAUUCAUAUAAUUGGAGCCAAAAAGAUAUAACAAUACUUUAAGGUACUCAAGACUAUGAAAUAUUUUAUCUAUUAAAAAAAAUGAUUCUUUUCAAAGACAUGAAUGUCAAAGAAAUGAAAUCUCAAUACACUCUUAUAUUACUCAAAAAGACUAGAAAAUCACAUAAAGAUGAUAAUAUAUUGAACUAGAAUGGCUAUUGCUAAAGACAAGAAAAAUAAAAAGUCUUGAAAUAAGACUGAAGACUAGACAGGCAUUGACAAGAGUGAAGAAGGUUUUAUUCUUACUUCUGUAUGUACUAUCUAAUUAGGAGCUAUAUAGGAAUGUCCUAUAAAACCUCCAACACAUGUUCAAUUUGUUAGACAUGUGUCUUAACUUACAAAAUAAGUUUCUUAUAUGUACACCACAUCAUUAGCUUGUAUCACAAGAUAUCCAUAUAUAUAUGAUACAUGAUUAGCUUGUUGGCUAAGUUUCCAACCUAACAAUCAACUACAAACAUGUAUAAAGUCAAAUAUGUAUUUAUGAAGCUUCUAAGAAACUUUGCCAUAAGAUAAUAUCAAUUCUAUUUAUAUUUAUUUUUUAUCUAAUACUUUAUUUUUAGAUAAAAAUAUAUAUAUAUAUAUAUAUAUAUAUAUAUAUAUAUGUAUGUAUAAUAACUAUUCAAAUAUGUAAAUAUUGAUUAGGUAGGAGACAUCAAUUUCCAUAAAUUGAUAUUAGGCAUACUAUACAAACUAAAGUUAAUAUCUAUAUGAUGGUCAAGGAAGCUUCAAACAUCAAUUACACUCUUACAAACAAAAAUAACAUAUUAUAUUUUAUCUAAAAAUGCUUGUAAUAUCACAUACUUUUAUAAACUGCUUUAGAAACUCCACUUAGAGAAUAAAAAUCCUAUCCUAUUGUUAUAAGAUAAUGUAAAUAGUAUUAGAUUGAUUAAAAAUCUUAUUAUAUAUUAAUAUAUAAAAUACAUAGAAUUGGACUAUCUGUACAUCAAAGACAAAUAAAUAAAUAAAAUAAUCAAAUUAUAAUAUACUUUUUAUCAUGGAUGUAUACAUUUACCUCAAUAGUUACUUAUAUGAUUAAAUAGAAGUAGGUAAAUAUAGAAUAAUUUCAUAAAGUCUUCUAGAAAAGCUUCCUAGAAGCUUUAUAGAUAUAAUUUUGACUUUAGAUGUGUUUGUAGGUUAGAAACUUGGCCAAAAAGUUAACCGUGUAUUGGUAGCUUGUGGAACAAGUUAUCUCCGUGUAAUAGCUUGUGGGACAAGCAAACUAUGUGGCAUAUACAUAGAUAACUUGCCUUGCAAUAUAAGACAUGUGGCUAGCAAAGUCAACACAUGUUGGAGGUCCUAUAGGACAUUGCCACGUAGCUCUUAGUUAGAUAGUAUAUAUGGAGGCAAGAGUGAAGCCUUUUGCACUCUUGUCAAUACCUUUCUAAUCUUAGCCUUGUUUCAAGACUUUCUAGUCUUUCUUAUUUUUGGCAAUAGCCAUUCUAGUUAAUAUUACAUCAUCUUUUGAGUGACUUUUUAGUUCUCUUUAGUGAUAGAAGAGUGUAUUGAGGACUCUCUUUCUUUGAGAUUCAUAUCUUUGACAGUUUGAGAAGAGUACUAACAUAUUUUUUCUAUCUUGUUUUAGAAGUAAGUGGAUUAUCCCACUUCUAUUAUUGUGUUUUGAAGGAUGCAGACUAUCUACCUUUAAAAAAAAAAAUCUUAUUUUUUAACACUGAUCUUUUUCUUAAAAAUAGUGGAUUACCCUUCUUUGUGGGAUUUGUUUUUAGAGGUUGCGGAUUAUCCUCCUCUAAUUUAACUUUUGAAUUCGUUUGAGUUGUCUAUGGAAGGAAAGAUUAUGGAUGCUACUCUCAAUAGAAUAGAUUUGCAACUAUAGCAGAUCUUCAUGAGCUUCUCAAUAUUCUAAGAGUAAAAAUCUCACAUAUUUCCAACGUGAAUCAUAGAAGUACUAUGCCUACACCUAUAGAAGAAGUUCAGAGUCUACAGCAAGAAGUUGUGCAAUUGAAAGAAGUAAGUAGAUCAAUGUCACAAUCAAAUUCAAGGAGUUUUGCUUCUACAAGUAUGACAAGGACAAGGAUUAGUAUGCUUGAGAAGUUUGAUGGAACAAGAACAAAAUUUCAAGGAUUUUUGCAACAUGUUAAAUUCUAUCUAAGGUUGCACCUUUUCCAAUAUUUUGAUGGAUUUAUCCAAGUCUGAUUUAUAGGCGUACUACUAUCAGGAAGUGCUCUCUCUUGGUUUUCACCUUUAAUGAAAAAAGAUUCAUGACUCCUUUAUGAUUUGAAUUCAUUCUUACAAGUGUUUACGACCACAUUUGGAGAAAGUAAUGAAGAAUAAGUAGUAGAGACCAAGCUUUUAUCCUUACGACAAGGAUCACAAUGAACCACUACAUGUGUUGCUAAAUACCAAAACCUUGCUUGUAACAUGGAUUGGAAUGACAAAGCACUUAUCAACCAAUUUUGAUAUUGAUUGAAGGAUAGUGUCAAAGAUUUAUUAUUAACAAUACCAAAAGUAGAAUCUUUAGAAUAAUUUAUUACUCAAGCCAUUGCAUGUGAUAACCAUUUAUUUGAAAAGCAUUUAGAAUAAAGAUUUGAUUAGAGAGGAACAAAUCAAGUAAUGGCGGCAGAUCCCAAGUUUUCUAAAACAUAUUCGUCAAAGCCGGAACCAAUGCAAACUAAUAUGAUACAUUUUAAACCUCUCACAAAGCAGAAAAAGACUCAAUGUCACCAAGAGGGAUUAUGUUUAUAUUGUGGAAAAGCUAAGCACAUUGCUCAAUAUUGUUCAAAGAAGCAACACAAUUACAAAAUGAGGAGCACAAUUACCAAAUAAGAUAAUGUGUCAGAAAACGAGUUUCUCCAAUUAUAAUAGGGACCGUUGUCGUGAUGUAACACAACUAAUAGGUGAAAGAGUGUGAAAAUUAUUGUAAUGUAGGAGAUCUUAGUUUAAAGUAUUAGAACAAACUAUCUUAGAAAUAUAGUUAAUAGUCAAAAGGAUAGUAAAGCAAAAAGGUACCAAUGUUGCCUUUUAGAAAGGUGACUUCUACUUACUUUGUAGGACCAUAAGUAAGACAAAACAAAGUAGAUUGGAAAAAUAAAUGAUAUGGACAUCUUUAAAAAGAAAUUAAGAAUAAAUUCUAGUAAAAUUUAUAUAGAAAAACUAGAUAUUGAUACCCGGAGAAGGCUAGUUAUGAACCAGGGUCAAAAUCAGACCAUGAGGUACAAAACUAAGUCUCGACGAUGACUCUAGGAUUCUUAUGCAGAUCAAAGAAGAGGGUAUGAUAGAAAAUUGAAUAGGAUUUUUAUGAGCAUUGAAUUUGGGCGAUUUGGAGUUUUUAUGACUUUGUAAGAGCAUUGCAAAUUCAAGGUUUGUUUUGGAUGACUUGGGUUUUAUGAAAUAAAAUAGGGUUUACGUUUUAGAUGAUUGCAAGAGUUUUGUAAUAGAUCUACAAGUGAAAUUUUGUGGAUUCAUGGUUAUAGUUGCGUUUAAUAUAUGUUAUGAAUUUGAGCUUAACCUAACAGUUGAAUUGAGGAUUACUGAAGUUUAAGUGGAUUAAGGUCUCAGAAAGUAGAAUUUUAGGUCCACUAAGGGUUUUUAAGAUUUCUUGCAAUCUACUAGUUGGAUUGGAAUGAAAUUUAUAUGAAAGGAUAUAAGAGCUAUUUUUCUAUGUGUAUGAGAAUUUUGAGAUCAAUCGAAUGGUGAAAAGGAGAGAUAUUUACUUUGAAAGAUUGGCAUCAAGGUUGGAGAAGGAGGCCGGCCAAUACUUGAGUACAUUUUUGAGGUUAUCAUUUAUUUGGUAAUUCCGAUCCUUUUCAAAAAAAAAUUCUUAUUUUCAACUUAUUUUUUAAGAAGUGUGUAAAAUUUGAGUUAAGAUCAACAGUUAAUUCAUUAGUUAUUGGGGUUUAAAUUUGUUAUAGGAAUUACUAGGAUUUGGUUAGGAUUUGAUUAGGGUUUGAUUCAGGGUUUGGUUUAGGGUUUAGGAUUUGGUUUAAAGUUUAGGAUUUGAUUUAGGAUUUAGGAUUUGAUUAGGAUUUGAUUUAGAGUUUAAGAUUUGGUUUAGGAUUUAUUUAAGGUUUAAGAUUUAGUUAAUUUUUGGCCUAAAGUUUGAAUGAAGUUCAAUAGGAUUUUAACUAGGAUUAAAUUAAGAUUGAAUUGAGAUAUAUUUGAGACAUAUUUAUAAUCAUUCUAAUAUUUCUUUAAGAUUUUUUAUUAUUUCUUUGAAAUUUCUUUGAAGUUUCUUUGAAUUUGAUUAAAGCUUAUUUAGCAUUAUUAUGGUCUAAUUAGACUUUAGUUAGUAUUCUAUUAGAGUUAAGAUUUUGUUAUUGUAAUUUCCAUUCUACCUUCCACAGCCACGUACCCAGAGCAUUCUCAAGCAAGACUUUACAUAUUACGACACCGUGUGGGUGGAAUCAUGUGCAAUACCUAGUAAAGGUCCUAUCUUCUCUUUAGAUCCUUCACCUUAUUUUAUAAUAGAAGUAUAUUUAGGACCUAAUAAUCACAAAGUCUUUGCCUUGUUAGAUUUAGGAGCCUCAGCAUGUUUUAUAGACGAAGAUUUUGCAAAAAAUCAAAAAAUAUCUUUAGAGAAGAAAUUAAAUCCAUACAUGUAGAAAUCAUAGAUGGUCAUUCAUUGUCUUCUGGAAAUGUUAUCUAUAAAACUAUUCCUUUACAUAUAGCAAUUAAAGAUCAUAACAAUAUAGUAGUAUUUAAUAUAAUAAAAUCUCCUUCUAAUCUGAUUAUUAUAGGAUUAUCAUGGCUACAAAAAUAUAACCCUCAAAUAGAUUGGAUUUCUCGUAACCUUAAUUUCAUGAUAGUAUAAUCCAAGAUCGCAUUCGUAAAAUAGAAGUAUGUAAGUCGAGUACGUCCAAACUUUUACUAGUAGGUGCAAAAGCUUUCAUGCAUGCUGCAAAAGAAAGAUCAUCUUUUGUUAUAUAUGCUACAUCCAUUUCUAAUGGUGAAACAAUGUCGAGUGGUAUUUCUAAGCAAUAUUAAGAAUUUCAAGAUAUUUUUGAAAAAAGAAAUGCAGAUAUUCUCUCCGAGCAUCGACCUUAUGAUUGUUCAAUUGAUCUACAAGAAUGAGCUCAACCACCAUUUGGACCAAUCUAUAGCUUAUCACAGAAUGAGUUGGCUGCAUUAAAAGAGUACAUUAAUGAGAAUUUGGCAAAGAAAUUCAUAUGUUAUUCUAAAUCUCUAGUUGGGGCUCCUAUCUUAUUUGUAAAGAAAAAAGACGGAUUUCUACGAAUGUGUGUGGAUUAUCGAGGACUCAAGAAGAUCACCAUCAAAAAUUGAUAUUCUUUGCCUUUGAUUUCAUGACUUCUUAACCAACUCAAUCAAGCAAAGAUCUAUAUCAAAAUAGAUCUACAAAGAGUAUACAACUUAGUUUGUAUCAAAGAAGGAGAUGAAUGGAAGACUACUUUUUGAACUAAGUAUGGACAUUUUGAAUAUAAUGUCAUACCUUUUGGAUUCACAAAUGCACCAGCUCCUUUUCAACAUCUUAUGAAUGAUGUUUUUUGUGAAUUUUGUAGAUGAUUUUGUUGUUUGUUAUUUAGACGAUAUUCUAAUCUACUCUAAGAACAUAAAAGAACAUGAGCUUCAUGUUCAUUACAUAUUACAGAAACUUACAGAUGUAGGAUUAUAUGCCAAGUUGAAAAAGUGUGUAUUCCACACUACUCAAGUUGUCUUUUUAGGAUACAUCAUUUCCAACAAAGGCCUUAUGAUGGAUCCCAAGAAGGUUCAAACUAUCAUAGAUUAGAAGAUUCCAAGAACAAUACAAGAUGUGUGAUGCUUUUUGGGCUUUGCUAAUUAUUAUCAAAUCUUCAUCAAGAAUUUUUUUCAAGUUGCAACUCUACUUACAUGUUUGACUUCUAAAGACAAACUUGAGUGGAAUAAAGAAGCAGAAGUAUCAUUUGAUGCUUUAAAGAAGGAAUUUAUUUUUGCACUAAUCUUGUAUUGCGUUGAUUUCUCUAAAGCAUUUUUUAUGGAAAUAAAUGUGUUAGAUUUUGCUAUAGGUGCCAUGUUGUCAUAAAUGGGAACAAAUGACAAACUCCACUCAAUAGCUUUCCAUUCAAAGAAAUUUUCAACAAUCAAGAUUAAUUAUGAGAUCUAUGAUAAAGAGCUCUUUGCAAUCGUGGAUACAUUUUAAGAAUGGCGUCAUUAUCUAGAAGGCACCUCAAGUCCAGUUACCGUGUAUACAGACCAUAAGAACCUUGAGUACUUCAUGUCAACACAUGUCCUCAAUUGUCAUCUAGCCCGUUGGAGCAUGUCUUUAUCUAGAUUCAAUUUCAAGAUCACUUAUCGACCUCGAAAAUAACAAGGUCUAUUGGACGCUCUUUCUAGACGUUCUUAUCUUGCACCAAAAGAAGGAUAUGUAUCUUUUGAUCAACAAAGAUCAAUUCUCUUGAAGCUUAAGUAUUUUCAUCUUCGAUAUAUAAAAUCAACAUUGACUAUUGAUUCAACAUUUAUGAAGUAAAUUCAAUCAAACAUGUCCUCUAAUCUUAUUAUUCAGGAUAUCAAAGAUACUUCUUCUAAUUCUUAUGUACUUCUAAGUUUGAAUUCAAGAAUAAUCUAUAAUAUUUUAAAAGAUGCCUAUAUGUUCUAGAAGGUAGAGCUCGAUUACUUUUUCUUCAAGCUCGUCAUGACUUUCCAGCAGUAGGACAUUUUGGAUACAAUAAAACUUUAAAACUAAUAUCCAAGGAUUUUUGGUGGCUGCAAAUAUGGGAGAAAAUCAAAGAUUUUGUACAAUCUUGUGAUGUUUGCUCAAGAUCAAAAACUCCUCGUCAUUGACCUUAUGAACUUCUUUAGCCAUUAUCCAUUCCAGAACAACCAUGGUCUUCUGUUUCUAUGGAUUUCAUCUCGGAUCUUUCAAUUUCAUGUUCUUAUGACUCUAUAUUUGUGAUAAUAGAUCGUUUUACCAAGAUGGCACAUUUGUAUUAUGUACAAAAUCUAUCACAGGUGAAGAAAUAGCUAAGCUUUUCAUUGAUAAUAUCUAUCGCUAUCAUGGAUUACCAAAGGAUAUUAUAUCGGAUAUGGAGACUCAAUUUGUAUCAAGAUUUUGGAAAAUCCUAUUCAUGAUUCUAAAAGUGGAUAUAAAGGUUUCUUCAGCUUUUCAUCCUCAAACUGAUGGACAAACGGAAUGGAUAAAUCAAAUUUUGGAGCAGUAUUUGAAAUGUACUAUCAACUAUCAUCAAGAUGAUUGGACAACUCUUUUACUAUUGGUAGAGUUUGCAUAUAAUAAUUUCGUACAUUCUUCCAUUCAACAAACACCUUUCUUUAUCAAUUAUGGUUAUCAUCCACAUCUUGAUACUUUUGACUUUUCAAAAGUUGAUAAUCCUACGACAGAAGAUUUAGUAAAUUGCUUGUCAAAGCUACAUACAACAAUGAAGAUACAAUUAAAAGAAGCUCAAGAAUGACAAAAGAUCAACACGGAUGCGUAUUACAAGGAGCAACUAUAAUAUAAUAUGAGUGAUAAGAUAUGGUUACUUUGUCGUAAUAUCAAGACUACUCGUCCUUGUGAUAAAUUACAUUAUCAUAGGCUGAGACCUUUUCCUAUUUUUAAAUAAAUCAAUUUUGUUGCCUAUCCAUUACAUCUACCGGAGUCUAUGAAGAUCCAUCUUGUAUUUUACAUAUCUCUUCUAGAGCUAUAUAAGAUAGUAAAAAUCUUGGGAAGAAGACAAAUACCACAUCAUCCUAUAGAAGUGGAUAAUAACCAAGAGUUUGAAGUGGAAGAAGUCUUAGACCUAAGGUGGCACUGAAAUAGGUUGGAAUAUCUUGUUCAUUAGUGCGGAUAUGAUAUUAAUGAACGCACAUGGAGCCAUCAAAGAACCUUGUAAAUACAGCAAAGAAAAUUGAAGUCUUUCAUCAACGACAUCCAUCAAAACCAAGAUAAAGAAUAGCAAACCUUUGCUAUAAAAGAAACAAGAUCAAAAGAAAAUAACAUUCUACCUUCUAUCUUUCAUUGUAGCUUCUAUGUAUUUGUAAUGAGAUGGAGUACCAACAACCAGGAGAUUAAACUUAAGAGCUUUUAUUUGCAAACUUACCAGAGGAGACAUUGCGAUUGUUACAACCUUCAAGACGAUGGAAUCGAGAUGAAGAUCCUCAAGAACAACAUGUCCUUCCUCGAAUAGAUGGCAAGAUAUAUCAUGUUUGGUAUCACGACUUUGGAAGAGACUCUCGAUGUUUAGUGAUUUUAUUAGAGGUAGGAACAACUUCUGACAAUGUUCCAAAUGCUUUAUUUGAAGGAAGUUAUGAAGACCUUAACAAUGACUAAAUAAUAGGAUGGUCUUCUCGCCUUGAUAUGGGACACUAUAGAUGGUUGAGAGGACCUAUCAACCAUCUUCGAAAAGAGCAAAGAUCGGAGUAUGUAGCAAAUACAAUUCGACGCAUCUUGGACUUCUUUAACAUAUGAAGACCGCUCCUUGUGGAACUCGUCCCAAGAAGAGGGGGGGUAAUGUCAAGGACAUAUAUAUUUACCUCAAUAAUUACUUAUAUGAUUAAGUAGAAGUAGGUAAAUAUAGAAUAAUUUCAUAAAUUCUUCUAGAGAAGCUUCCUAGAAGCUUUAUAGAUGUGGUUUUGACUUUAGAUGUGUUUGUAGGUUAGAAACUUGGCCAAAAGCUAACUAUGUAUUGAUAGUUUGUGGAAUAAGCCAACUACAUGGCAUAUACAUAGAUAACUUACCUUGCAAGAUAAGACAUGUGGCUAGCAAAGUCAACACAUGUUGGAGGUCCUAUAGGACAUCGCCACGUAGCUCUUAUUUAGAUAAUAUAUAUAGAGACAAGAGUGAAGCCUGCUUCACUCUUGUCAAUGCCUUUCUAGUCUAAGUCUUGUUUCAAGUCUUUCUAGUCUAAGUCUUGUUUCAAGUCUUUCUAGUCUAAGUCUUGUUUCAAGUCUUUCUAGUCUUUCUUGUUUUUGGCAAUAGCCAUUCUAUUUAAUAUUACAUCACCUUUUGAGUGACUUUCUAGUUCUCUUUAGUAAUAAAAGAGUGUAUUGAGGAUUGUCUUUCUUUGAGAUUAAUGUCCAUGACACUUCUAUAUAUUUUCCACAUACUAAUAUUCUUAUAAAGCCUGUAGAGCCAACUAAAUUUAUUGAAAAUAAAAAAAUUACUAAGAUACAAAUAAUAUCAUCAUAGAUAUAGAAAAAAUUAUUAAUUCUUGUUAAAUUUAAUUUAGCUUUUUUAACAAAUAUAUGCCUUUGCUUCUAUGCAAGUUUUGAAUUUUUAAAAUUUUAUACUUUAAUACUUCUAAAUAGGCUUUUUAUACUUUGACCAAGACUUGAAGAUACCUACACUACUAUCUCAAUGUAUUGUGUAGAAGUUCUAAAUAGCAAACCUUGAAAAAAUUCUAUCUCUCAACAAACAAGUUAAAUACAUCUCUAUCAAAGAUACAACUACUAUUACAAGGAAUUCAACAUCUUCAUUGUCUUUGCUCUAUGAUAUAAGCAACAAUAAUCAAGACAAAAAUAGAUCAAAAAUUAACACACAAACUUAUUAAAGAAUCAAUAAUAUAAGCAAAUUACAAUAAAUACUACUUGCAUCAAAAUAAAAAAAUAUAUAAAAAAAUGAAUUGAUUGUUUGUACAAAAAAAAAAUAACUAAAAUAAGGUGACGUAAAAAAAAAUGAUUCACUAGAAAUAAGUCUUUUAUUAUGUAUUUGAGCUAUUCUAUGGCAUUGUAGACAUCAAAACAAAAAUAUACUAUAAAAAAAAUUACAUCACUGAGAGAAGGUGUUGGCAAAUUCUAACUUGUAUCACUCAAGAAGAGAGAACUCACUUUGUACCAUCUUCUAAUGAGUACAAGCACUUUGUGUUUUUAUUCUAUAUGAUUCUACUAUACAAUUAAGUCACCUUAUUUAAUCCACAUCUCUUUUAUGAUGAGUUAUCAUAAAUUCAUUCAUAUUAGCCUCAAUAUCAUUGUAUCUUUUUAUAUUAUCAUGAUUUAUCCACAUCAUCUUUUUAAUUCCAUAUGACUCUUUGGAUGUACAUAGGAUUAGAAUAAAUUAUGAUUACAAUAAUAGAGCACCAAGGAUAAAUUGAAAUAAACUAGUAGGUUUUUUUUCAAAUGAGACAAAUACUCUUGAGCUUUAUUUUAUGCAAUAGUGACUAUGUGAUGCAUUAGUAGGAAUUAUGGUAUUUAAUAUCUCUAUUUUCAUGAAUUCAAGAGUUGAGUUUUGAAUCCAAAGUAGUAAUUAGCUCAUGUGUCAUUAGGAUCAAUUUUUUAUAGUCUUGUAUCUAUAAUCUACUUUCAUAGGAUUGAUGAUUUUGGCAAUGUAGACUUUGAUUUAUAAAUCCAAAAAUCUCUUACUAUCACAAUUGUAUUACAUAAGGAUUAGAAUAAUUAAGUGAUAUUUAUUUAUAAAUAGUAGCUUUGAUAAUUAAAGUGUGUAUUUUUGUAGGUACUUGCUAUCUAUCAAUUUCAUAUAUUAGCUCUAUUUUCUUGUCAUUCCUAAAUAAAUUCAUUUGGUGAUUUCAAAAAUAAGGUAUGAAUGCUCGUAACUUUGAUUGCUAUAGAUUAUUUGUAAGGAUGUGCAAUAUAAAAUUGAUUUAAAAAAUUGGUUUGAUGAAAAAAUCUUAAAGAUUAUUUAUUUGUAAAAUAAAUAAUUUGAAUGCUUGAAUCCUAUUUAAGACAAUAUAUGUAAUAUGAUGGAAUUAUUGUGAAUUUGUGAUAGAAUUUAAAAUAAAAAUCUUGUAUGUAAUCAUGGACCUUUGUUAUCAUACUCACAUUGAAAUAUCUUUGGUUGAAUGUGGUCUAUAUUAUUAUAUGGUCUAUAUAUUUGAUUUAAAACUACUAAAAAAAAUUAAUAAUAUACAUUAAUAUUGGAGUUAAUCUUUAUACCUUAUAUUUUUUACAACAACUUCUAUUAAUUUUUAUAGGAAAGUCUUUUCCAUUUAAUAUUUUAAGAUAAAUUGAAUUAUUAUCAAAGACUUCUUUCAUAAUAUAAGGUCCAAUUCAAAGUGCAUCAAAUUUAGUUAGAAAUUCUAGUUUCCUAGGAUCUUAAAUUAUUAUUCAUAUCCCUAAAGAAAGAACAUGUUUUUUUUAUUUUUUUAUCAAAGAUCUCUUUUUGUCUUUUGUAAGUAGUUUCUAUGUAUUGAGAUGCAAAUUUUUAAAUUUUACAAAGGCUUUCAAAAUACUCUAAUUAUUCAUUCUAAGAUUGAGAAGUAUCCAAUCUUUUAUCAAUAGCAAUGUAUAAAGAUGGAACUUCAAAUUCUAUAGCCAAAUGGCUUCUAUUCUAUAUACUAAAGAAAAAAGUGUAGCUCUUAUAGAAAUCUUAUAAGUAAUUCGGUAAGUCCAAAGUGCUGAAGUAAAUUUAAGAUCCCAAUCAUGCUUAGAAUCCAUCAUUGUUUUUUUCAAUAUCCAAACUAAGGUUUAAUUGAUUCUUUCUAUAAGACCAUUUAUUUGAGAAUGAUAGGGUGUCAUGGAUAUAUAUCUAUUGUAAUUAUUACUUAAAUAAUAUGAAUAAGUAGAAGUAAAUAAAAGUAAAUUAAUUUCAUAUAACCUUCUAAAGAAGCUUCUUAAAUCCUAUAAAUACUAUAAAUAGAUCCUAAAUAAAUAGUAUAUAUAGAGGCAAAAAUAAAGCCUUAUUUACUUUUUUUAACUCUUUUUAUAUUUCUAAUUUAGUUUCGAGAGUCUUUAGUUUCUUUGUCUUUUAGCAGUAGCCAUUCUAGUUUCUUUUUUAAUAUACAUAUUUUUAUUUUAUUUUUUCAUAUUUUUUUGAAAAAGCCUCACUUAAAUAUUUUCUUUCAUGAAGUUCUUGUCUUUGACAAAUUGACAAGAGUACACUUACAAUAUUAGAGCUUUGUCUUUUCUUGAUUAAAAAUAGAUUACCUUUGUGAGGAUAAACUCCACUCUUCAACCCAAAUUAUAAAAUGGCCUUAAUUAAAAAUUGCUUACAAUAGGUGGAAUAAAGUAAAAGUAGCAAGAAAAAUAAAAAUAAAUAAAAAAUAAAAAAUAUAAAAACAAGUAAAACAAGUACAAUCAAGCAAUUCUACACUACAAAGUUGGUUAUAGUUUGUUUACUGAAUUUUUAUCUAAUAAAAAGUAAAAAUAAAAAACAAAAAAUAUAUUUUUAGUAAUAUAAUUUUUUUAUCUUUUCAAUGGUAUAAGAAACAUAUAAAUCCAAGUUACUAUGAAUAAAUUAUGAAGGUUUAAAAAUGAUAAGUAAAUAAAUUAAAAAAUUAAAUAAAUAAUUUUUACCUCAAAGAUAACUUGCUUAAGAAAUCAAGAGUUCGAGCCUCACCAAAGCUCAAAAGUAGUGUAUAUGGAUAUCUAAGAAAGGCCACAAGGCCUUAGUCUUAUCUUCCUAACUAUCUUCAAGGUGCUACAUCCCAUAUGGAACUUGUACACCUCCCUUCUAGCAAGGAAUACACUAGCUGCUAAUCCUCCUAUUUUCUAUUAGUAAAACCAAUAAUUUUGCAUUUUUUACUUCACCAUGGUAUUUAAAAACAUCCAAUUAGCCUAAAAACAAUGUGAGGCCUUCAAAUCUUACUCCAUUUCAUAAUAAUAGCUUCCAAAGUGGUAAAAUCCAUUUUUAUCAAAGUGUUGGAAAUUACUCUAAAAAUUCCUAAAUAAUUCUAAAAAUUACUAUAAUAUUUCUAUAAUAUUAAAAUAAAUUUGAAUCUAUAUUUUUAUACCUUGAUAAUCUUUUUUAGUAAUAAAAUAAAUUUAAAUCUACUAUAAAAUCUUACUAUCUAUAUAACCAAUUAAAAAGAUAUGAAGUUCUUUUUCAUGCUUCUUUUAAUUACUAAUUAAUAUUUAUAGUUUUUUUUAUAAGUAAUACAUAUAGAUAUAAGGCCAAUAUAAAUAUUGAUCUUGAUAAUCUUUAAUACUCAAUAAUAAGUAAAAAUAUUAAACCAACUAAAAUAAUUACCUCCAAGAAUUACUAAGAUUCCAUUUCUACAACUAACAUUCUAAUUUUCUAUUUGUCCAAGGAUUUCUAUAAUAUUCACCAUAUAUUGUAGUUUUAAGCAUUUUAAAUGUAUCUUUUCAUCCUAAAAAAAUUAAUGAGUUGAUUUAAUGACUCACAACUAUUUUUUCUUAAUAAGAUGUAAGUGUAUUGAGAGUUGUAGAUUACCUUCUUCUAAAUUAAUAUUGUCCUUAUUUUUUUCUUUAUUUUCAAGUCAUCUCUUCUAUUUGUCUUGAAAAAUAUCAGAAAUAUUUUUUUGUUUAAGUAUUAUCAUAGUAGAGUCUUUCAAAAUGAAAAGUGCAAUUAUAAAAAUAUAAGAAUAAUUGAAAAAGUUAAUGCUUUUAAUGCAUCAACUUAAUUUAUCGCCAUAGAGAGUAACAAAAAUAGCAAGGAAAAAAAGAUAUAGAAAUUAUUGGAGCUACUUCAACAUCUAUAUCAAAUCAUGUUCUUUUUUCUAUGGUAGAAUAUCCUUCUAAUAUUAGAAAACAAAGGAUUACACUGUCCAAAAAGUUUGAUGGUAUAAGAUCCAAGUUUCAAGGAUUUAUGAAUUAAGUGCAACUUAUGAUUGAACUUCAACUCUAAAGCUAUCCAAUUUCAAGAUUGCAAGUUAGAUUCAUUAGUUUACUCCUUUUAAGUUUAAUAUUUUUAUAGUUUUUAUCUUUUUUUGAAUAACAAGAUCUAAUAUUGGAUAAUCUAGAGGUUUUUUUAGUGAAGUUUUUAUCUAUGGAUAGAAAACAUGAUAUAAUUUAUAUUCCAACUAAUAAGAUCUAUAUUAUGUGACAAAACAAUCAAUUGGUGAUGUUAUAUAGUUCAUAGUUCUAACAACUUGUGAUUGAUAUCAAAUAGGAUGAUGUUACAUUUAUUAGGUAAUUUCUCUAUGGAUUACAAUAUGAAAUAAAAAAGUUGAUGCUCAAUUUACUUGAUCUUCAAACAUUAAGUCAAGCAAUUGACUUUGAUGUAAGGUGUGACAAUUGACUUUUUGAAUUUCAAUUUGAGAGUCGCACAAGUAUAUCUUAACACUACUAUAAUUCAAUGACAAUGCCAAUGUCUUUUUAACACAUAUAUUCAAAAAUAGAGGAUAUACAAAUUGAUGCGAUACAUUUAAAAUUUCUUAUUAAGCAAAAAAAGACUUAUUAUUGUCACAAAGGAUUAUAUUUGUAUUAAAGAAAACCUAAGCACAAUGCUCAAUAUUAUUCAAAUAAGCGACGUAAUUAAAAAAUGAGAAGUAUUGCUGUCAAAGAAGAUAGUUUGUUAGAAAACGAGUUUGUCUAGCUACAAUAGGAACUAUGCAGCUAGAAUCUUAUACAACACCUAAUGAAGGUCUUAUUCUUUCUUCAAAAUCCUCUCUUUGUUUUACAAUAAAUAUUAUUUUAAGACCUAAAUAUUACAAAGCCUCUGCCUUAUUAGAUUCAAGAGCCUCAGUGUGUUUUUUAAAUGAAGAAUUUGCUAAAAGAUAUAAUAUAACUUCAGUGAAGAAAACUAAACCUGUUUAUACAGAAGUUAUAGAUGGUUAUGUAUUGUCUUCAAAAAAUGUUACUCAUGAAAUUCUUCCUAUAAAAAUAACAACUAAUGGUCAUAAUAGCUUUGUAAUAUUUAAUAUCAUUAGAUCUCCUUCUAAUCCAAUCAUUUUAAUUUUAUCAUGAUUAAAAAAAUAUAAUCCAAAAAUAGAUUAGAUUUUUUAUAGUUGAAAUUUUUUUAAAAGUAUAACUAAAAGUAUAGUUGAUCGAGUAGAAAGUCAUAAGUCUAGUGCAAUUAAAUUUGUAUUUGUAGGUGUAAGAACUUUCUUGUCUGCUGCAAAAGAAGGAUUACCUUAUAUUAUUUAUGCUUCACCUAUUUUUAAUAGUAGAAAGAUUUCUAAUAGUAUUCUAAACUAAUAUCAAGAUUUUUAAGAUGUAUUUGAAAAGAAAAAUGUGGAUAUUCUAUUGGAACAUCGUCUCUAAGAUUGCUCAAUUGACCUUCAAGAAAGAAAUCAACCACCGUUUGGACCAAUUUACAAUUUAUCAUAAAAUAAAUUGGUUGAACUCAAGGAAUAUAUUGAAAAAAAUCAAAUUAAGAAUUUCAUACACUAUUCCAAAUCUCUUCUAGGAGCUCCAAUUUUAUUUGUGAAGAAAAAAGAUGGAUCAUUACAGAUGUGUGUUGAUUAUUAAAGAUUCAAUAAAAUUAUCAUAAAAAAUAGAUACUUAUUAUUUUUGAUAUAUGGACUUUUUGAUCAAUUGAAUCAAGCUAAGAUCUAUACAAAAAUAGAUCUAUAAGGAACAUAUAAUCUAAUAUACAUCAUAGAAGGAGAUAAAUAAAAGAUUGGAUUUUGAACAAAGUAUGGAUAUUUUAAAUAUAAUGUCAUGCCUUUUGGACUUACAAAUGCACCAGCAGCUUUCCAACAUUUAAUGAAUAAUUUUUUUUCGUAAUUUUUAGAUGAAUUUGUUGUUUUUUAUCCAGAUGACAUCUUAAUCUAUUUUAAAAAUAUAAAAAAAUAUGUAAUUUAUAUUUAUUGUGUGUUACAAAAACUAAGAGAUAUAAGACUCUAUGCCAAGAUAAAAAAGUGUAUAUUCUACACUACUUAAGUCGACUUCUUAAGAUACAUCAUUUCAAAUGAUGAACUUAUGAUGGAUUCUAUGAAAGUUUAAAUUAUCAUGGAUUGGAAGUUCUCAAAAAUGAUAAGAGAUGUCAAAUAUUUUUUGGGAUUUGCCAACUACUAUUAGACCUUUAUUAAGAACUCUUAGGUUGCAGCUCCACUUAUAUGUUUGGCUUAUAAAGACAAACUUCAAUAGAAUCAAGAAAUAAAAAUAAUAUUUGAAGCUUUAAAGAUAAUCUUUAUUUCUGCACCAGUCUUGUAUCAUGUUUAUUUUUUUAAGCCAUUUUUUAUAGAAAUAGACAUAUCAGACUUUGCUUUGGAUAUUAUAUUAUUACAAAUGUAAACAUAAGAUAAACUUCAUGCAAUAGCUUUUCAUUCAAGAAAAUUUUUGAUAGUUGAGAUCAACUACAAGAUUCAUGACAAAUAACUUCUUGCAAUUAUGGAUUUAUUUAAAGAAUGGUACAAUUAUCUAGAAGGUACUUCUAUUUCAGUCAUUAUUUAUAUCAAUCAUAAGAAUCUUGAAUAUUUUAUGUCAACACAUAUGUUGAAUUGUUGCUAAGCUCGUUGGAGCAUGUUUUUGUUAAGAUUUGAUUUUAGGAUCACUUAUCAAUGCAAAAAAUAAUAGGUUUUUUCAAACAUUCUUAUCUCACAUGAAAGAAAAAAGAUGCAUCUUUUAAUCAAUAAAAAAUAAUUUUCUUAAAGUCAAAGCACUUUCAUCUUUGAGCAAUAAAAUCAAUAUUGAUUAUUAAUUCAAUGCUUAUCAAACAAAUUAAAUCAAGUAUGUCAUCUGAUCUUCUUAUUCAUGAUAUCAAGAAUCCUUCUUCUAAGUCUUUCAAAUUUGAAUUCAAAAAAAACCUACACUAUUUCAAAUGGCGCCUAUACAUUCAAAAAGGAGAAGCACAAUUAUAUGUACUUCAAGCAUAUCAUAACUUUCUAGCGACCAGAAAUUUUAGAUAUAAUAAGAUUUUAGAACUUCUACCUAAAGAUUUUUAGUGGCUAAAAAUGUGGAAGGUAGUGAAAAACUUUUUUCAAUCAUAUGACAUUUGUUGAAGGUCAAAAACUCCUUGUCAUUGAUCCUAUGGACUUUUUCAACCAUUAUACAUUCUAAAACAACCAUAGUUUUUUGUUUCUAUGGAUUUUAUUAUGAAUUUCUUAUCUCAAAUUUUUAUGACUCUAUAUUUGUGAUAGUAGAUCAUUUCACCAAUAUGGUACAUUUUGUACCAUGUACAAAAUCUAUCACAUGUAAAAAAAUAGCCAAGCUUUUCUUUGAUAAUAUCUAUCGCUAUUAUGGAUUAUCGAAAGAUAUUAUAUUAGAUAAGAAAACUCAAUUUGUAUCAAGAUUUUAGAGAAUACUUUUCAAGGUUUUUAAAAUAGACAUUAAAUUAUCUUCAAUUUUCUAUCUCCAAACUGAUAGACAAAUAGAGCAUGUAAAUUAAUUUUUUGAGCAAUAUUUAAGUAGCAUCAUCAACUAUCAACAAGAUGAUAGAACAACUCUUUUGACAUUAGUAAAAUUUAUUUAUAAUAAUAGGAUACAUUCUUCUAUAUAAUAAAUUCUUUUUUACUAAUUAUAGAUAUCAUCUAUAAUUUGAUAUUUUUGUUUUUUUAAAAGUUGAUAAUUUUGUGGUAGAAGAUUUGACAAAUCAUUUAUUUGAGCUACAUACAACAAUGAAGCUACAUUUAAAAGAGACUCAAGAACAACCAAGGAGCAAUGUAGAUGCUUAUUGCAAGGAACAAUUUCAUUUUCACAUUGAUGAUAAGAUAUGGUUACUUUAUCAUAAUAUCAAAACUAUUUGCUUUUGUGACAAAUUGGAUUAUCAUAGACUUGAACCAUUUCCUAUUUUUCAACAACUCAAUCUAGUUGCUUAUUGAUUAUAUCUAUCAAAGUCUACGAAAAUCCAUCAUGUAUUUCACAUGUCUCUUUUAGAGCCAUAUAAGCAAUGAAUAUCCCAAGAAGAAGAUUAAUACUACUGCCUCCUAUAAAAGUAGAUAAUAAUCAAGAAUUUGAAGUGGAAGAAGUCUUAGACUUAAGACAACUUUGAUAUAAGUUAGAAUAUCUUAUUCAUUAGCUUCAAUAUAAUAUUAGCAAAGACACACGGGAGCUAGCAAAAAAUCUUAUAAAUGUAGUAAAGAAGGUCAAAGCUUUUCAUCAAUGGCAUCCAUCAAAAUUAAGAUAAAGGAUAGUAAAUCUUUGCUAUAAAAAAAAAAAAAAAAACACACACACACACACACACAAUUCAAAAAAGAUUUCAUUCUAUCUACUAUCCUUAUUUAUAAUUUUUGUAUGAUUAUAGCAUUAAAGAGAUAAAAAAACCAAUAGCCAGCAGAUUCAAUUCAAGAACUAUUAUUUUUUGACUUCUUGGAUAAGACAUUGCAAUUAUCAAAGCCUUUAAGAUGACAUAAUAUGAAUGAAGACCUUCAAGAAUGAAAUAUUUUUUUCUUAAAUAAAUGGCGAGAUACAAUGUGUUUGAUAUCAUGACUUAAAAAGAGACUCUUGAUAUUUGGUGAUUUUAUUGGAGGUAGAUACAACUCCUGAUAGUGCUACAAAUAUUUUGUUUUAAAGAAGUAACAAAAGUUUCAACAAUGAUCAAAUCAUAGGAUGAUCUUUUCAUCUUAGAAUAGAACAUUAUUAAUGGUUGAUAGGACCUAUCAACUAUUUUUUAAAGAAACAAAGUUCAAAGUAUAUGACAAAUAUAAUUUGCCGUAUCUUAAAUUUCUUCAAUAUGUAAUCACUAUUCCUUAUGGAUCUUGUUCCUAGAAAAGAAAAUAAUUUCACAGAUAUAUAUAUCUACUAUAAUUAUUACCUAAAUAAUAUGAAUAAGUAGAAAUAGGUAAAAGUAGAUUAAUUUCAUAAUACCUUCUAAAAAAGCUUUUUAGAAGCUUUUUAGACUCUAUUUUGAUUUUACAUGUAUUUGUAUUUGAUUGAUAGGUUAAAAACUUGGUCAACAAGCUAACCACAUACCACAUGUAUUGGUAUCUUGUGGAACAAGCUAACUAUGUGGUAUUUAUAUAAAAAAAUUAUGUUACAAGUUAAGAUACAUGUCAUGCAAAGUCAACACGUUUUUGGAGAUCCUAUAAAACGUCACCACAUAGAUCUUAGAUAGAUAGUAUAUAUAGAUGUAAGAGUGAAGCCUUCUUCACUCUUAUUAAUUCUUUUCUUGUUUUCAGUCUAAUUUCAAGAGUCUCUAGUUUCCUUGUCUUUUCUUAAUAGCCAUUCUAGUUUUUUUUUAAUAUACAUACUUCUCUAUUUUUAUUUUGUCAUAUUUCUUUGAAAGAGACUCAUUUGAUUAUUUUCUUUCAUUGAGUUCUUGUCUUUAAUAUAAGAAGCUAUCUUCUUAUAAUUGAUGAUAAAAAAUGUGUUGAUUUUUUUAAUAGCUUUAUUUCAAAAACAAAUAUCAUUACCACUCACAAAGAUUUUUUGAUAAUUAAAAUAAGCUACGCUAUUCUCAUACAAAAAUAUUAUAGUUUAUUUAGCAUCUGCCUUCUUUAUAACUUUUAUUUCUAUGUAUUUGAUCAAAUAUUCUAUAGCUAUAAUGAUAUAUUAUAUUUGACAUGAAGAUGGAAGAUAAACAAGUCCAAUAUAGUUUAUAUCCCAUUUUUUAAUUGGAAUAAGUAAGAAUGAAGGAUUUAAAAGCAUUACAAGAUUUAAAUCAUUGGGUGCAUAUCUUUGGCAAGUAUUAUAAGAUUUUACAAAAGGUUCUAAAUUAAUAAAGAAUAUAAGCCAAAAAUAAUUUAUUUUAAGAAUUUUUUGAGCUAUUAAUUGAUUAGAGAAGUGUCCACCAUGAGCACUUGAAUGACAAGCUUCUAAUACAAGUGAUACUUCUUUAUAAAUAAGACAACAUUUUAAAAUUCCAUCAAUUUCUUGACAAUAUAGUUUUUUGGCUAUAAGAGCAAAAUGGAUACUAUUCACUCCAAUCUUCUAUCUUUUAUUUUUUUGAUAAGAUAUUGGAUAGUUGUUGAGUACUUAAAAAUUUAGUAAUAUGUUUAUACUAUGUGGGUGCCACCAUAAAAUAGAACAAAUGAAUAUCAAGAAAUUCAUCAUUUAUAUUUUGGGUACCUAUUAUUGUAGAUAAUUGUAAAAGGUGAUCAAUUUAUUUGUAUUAUUUUCCUAGUUUGUAUUGAACUAAAUAAUCAAAUUUUAUAAAAAAUAAUAUCCAUCUUGUUAAUCUACAACUUAAAUCUAAUUUAUUUAUAAUAUAUUUAAAGACUAUAUAAAUUACAAAGAAAAUAACCUUAUUCAUUAAAAGAUAAUUGUAGAAUUUUUUGAUACUAGAGAUUGUAAUCAAAUAUUUCCAUUCUAUGAUUGUAUAAUUUUAUUCAGUACUUCUAAAUUAUUUAUUGUCAAAAGUAAUAAGGUGAAUUAUAUUCUUAUCAUCUGAUUGACAUAAGGUACUACCUACUAUCAAUUUAGAAGCAUCACAAUAAACAUAAAAAAAUUGAUUUUGGUGUUGUGGUAGAAAGAAUUUGCUUUAAGAAGCGUUGGACUUUUGGCUAUCACUCAAUACUCAAUUAAGCUUUUAGAUAAAGAAAAAAACAAGUCCAUAUAUAAAAUUGUCUCUAAAGAGACAAUUACAUCAAUAUAUGAGCCUUAAGUACCAAAGAUCACCAAAAAUGUAAUAAAAAUAUUAUAAAAAACUUAUAUAUCCUUAAAGUAAAUUCUUUCUAAACUUUAAUAGCUCAUAUCUCAUAAUUGGACCAUCUAAACAAACCUAAAUUUUAUAUGAACUAUUGAUGUUCUUUUAAAAACUACUACAAUAAAUUUCAACUAUAAAUUCAUUAUGGAUCUUGAGAUAUCACCAAAAUUCUAACAAUAGCUUUAAAUCCUUGCUUACAUACAUCCAAGUACAAAUUACUUCAUAUUUCACAAACUAAGUAUUUAAAUAUUAUAAAAUUUUGAUAUAUAGCUUUUUAAUUCAACAAUAUACACUUUUGGAAAUUUUGAGCCAAAAAUUCACCUGAAAACUUAAGAUAUGGCUCCAACCAUUACUAUCAACAAAACGACUUACUUACUACCUCUGAAUUACAUGUGCUACCUUCAAUACUCUAUAACUUCUUCAUAUAAAGUCCAAAUGCAGAAAUUCUUUCAUAAAAGAUAUAGAUCUUAAAAUCACCCUUAUAGUUGUAUCUUUUAAUAUCCAAUAUCUAUUAUAGUACUCCUCAUAUCUUUAAAAUAACAAUAGUAUGUCUUAAAAAGACACCUUAACUUCAAACGGCUAUAACUUCAUCACUUUAAUUCCAAAUUCUCUAAAUUUUUAUACACAAAUUGUAGUCCAAAUUCAAGCUUAUAAUUUUUUCUUUUUAUUCUUAAAUUUCUCUUUUGAAGUCACUAAAAUGCUUAUUAUGGUCUCCCAGAGCUUGUUGAAUGUCCAUUGGACAUGGCCUUCGGCCAAUAUGAAUAAAGAUCUUUACCUUUUGCCUUCAUCAGACCAUGCCUUGAUUUCAUCUUUUUCCAUAAGCCUCCUAGUAGUUUAGAUUUCAUCUUUAGGCUUCCACCUUUUCUUAAAGCUUUAUAUUAAACACACAAAUCUCAUAUAAUUUAAAUAUUAUAAUAAAAAUAGAUAAAGUUCAAAAUAAAGUUUCUUAUAUCUAUUUUUUGUUUAAAAUUUAAAAUAAUUUUUUUUAUAUCUAAGAAGGAAUUUUAAAAUAAAGUAAAAUUUGUCAAUUUAGAAAAUAAAGAGGUAAUUUGCUUUAGUAUGGCACAUCCAAUUUUAUUAGCAUGUAUAAGCUUUAAUCUAUACAAUUAGAAGGAUGAGGAAAAUUUACCAAAUAUUUAGAAAGUCACCUCACCUUAAGUACAGAUGAAAUAAUGCAUGUCAACUUUAUAGAUGGUUUUGCUACUUUGCAAAGUAAUGAAAUAGAGGUAGAUUUAGCUACCUUGGUAGAUGACAUUAAAUUUGAAGAUAUAUUUGGAGUACACUUUGACGGCAUUCAAAGUCAAGAUUCAAAUGAAUUAAUUACAGAAGUUGACUUUAAUCUCUUCUUUUAGUUUCAACACACUUUUAGUAGUCUUACAGUUUGAAAAGAUAUAGCCAUAUGUCUUUAAAUACCAAAUGAGUAAUAUAAAAGAUCCAUAGAGCAAUUAUAUGUCCAUAAACUUGAUUAUAUAAUGAAAGAUGUAUUUUUAAGAAUGAAGAAUCAAAACUUAUUAAAGUUUAAUUCCAAUUAAUAAAGACUAUACAAUGACAAUAAAAAAUUACUUUUAAUAAAUUUUAUAAGGUUAGAAUUCUAAGGCUUAGCAUAUUGGUCUUCUUAUAAGAUGCUAAGAAAUUAGAUUUUUCAAGAAAAUUUGAUAUCAUAUGGUUGAUUCCUUGUUUGAUUAAAAAAAGACUUCUCAAACAAUUCAAUUUAAUUCUAUUAUUCAACAAAGAAAACUUUCCUACUAGAACUUCUAGCAAUCAAUGUAAGAAAUAUAAAGUAUGAUCUUUAUUACAUACAUGAUCAAGCAGUUCUUCCUUAAAUUUAUUCUUACUCAAUUUUUUAAAAUAAUAAAUUAUCAAAACUAAAUAAAAUUUAAGAAGCUAAAACAUUGGAAUACAAGACAAAAAAUAGUUAUGAUCAUUUGUCUCAUCAUCUUCUCAAUUUAAUUUCUUUACACAACAAUCAUAGAUGUUUUAAAUAAAAAAGAAGAAUAUUUGAUUAAAAUUUUAUGAUUUUAAAUAUAAUAUCUAUAUAUAUAUAUAUAAUAAGAUUUAUUAGUAUCUAUCAAAUUUAGCCAUCUAUAGAUUAUAGGAGUGUUGGUUAAAUGAGAGGUUGCUUUAAUAUUCCAAUUUUAAAUCUAGUUUAAAAAAUUAAGUUAUCUCAAUAAGCUAGUGAUAAUACAAGAAAGACCAACAUUAAAUAUCCAAUGGAUAUAUAGGCCUUUCAAGGCUUAAUGUCAUAAUCUUCUAAAGUUGAAGAAGAUUCCAAAGUAUUAACUUUUUAAUUUAUUAGUUAAAAAUACAAACGUCAACCAUCACUUCUUUCUAUUCUUUUCAUAUUUAAAUCAAUUCAAUUCAAGACAACAUGAAGGCUUGCAUCUAAUGUGACUUCAUUUCAAAAAUUAGAACACAUGAAUAUAUGGUCAAGACUUGCUUACAAACAAUAGUCCAUCUUUGAAAAGAAUGCUAAGCAUUAACUAUAUAACAAAGCAAAAAGGAUGGCUUAAUUUAUUGCCACACAAGAAGUCCUUUGUGAAGUCAAGGAUAAGAUAAUAAUGACAGACAUUAAGAUCCAACAACUAAGUGUAGUUAAUAAAUAUUAGAAGGAGGCUCAAGAAGAACAAAUAGAAUAAAAAGAAGUUAUUGACAUGUUAGAUGUUGAAUCCAAGUUUUAGACUAUCCACACUAUAUAGAUAUAUAAUACAAGCAAGAUUAUUGCACAAUGUGCUCUAAUAUUAGUCCUUAAGUGUUCUCAACUCUUACAUUAGAAUCCAUCAUUUUGAAGAGAUUUUGGUCUAGAUAGCAAUAUCCAAACUAGGCUUAGAAGACAAAGAUUUGGUAUAGGCACCAUAGCCUAGCAACGCAUCAUCUUUCCAUCUAUGCUUCAUUGUCACUCUUUUUAUCAAUUCUUUGGGAGCAAUCAAAGUUUUUGGAAAAAAUCCUUUUAUAUUACCUCACUUUAACAUUCCUUCUUUUGGAUAAUUAGAGCUCUUAGACUCUCUCUCUAACAACAACAAAGAAGAAACCUUUACUCUUAUUUAAUCAAGUAAUAUUCAAUUUUUGGUGUUUCAUUGAAUUAUACUUUAAUAUUUAAUAGUGCAUCAUAAAUUAGAAAUUGAAAAAAUUGACCUAUGAAAAGAUGAGCCGUGCGACUGAGCAAAAUGAAUAUUUUUUCAAUAUUUAAAAUAAUACUAGAUCUUGUACAAUAUUGUAUUUUUUUUUUUGAUAAUAGAAAUUCAUACUAGAAUUUGUAAUAAAAUUGUCACUAAUAUAGUUUUUGAUGUAUGUAAAUAGAUUGAGAAUAAUUAAUACCUUGAUUUUAGUUGAUAUUUUUUUACAAAAUUGCAUUACAUAUACAAAAAAAUAUUUUUUUUGAUGCCAUAUUAUAAUUACAAAUUUAAUAUUAGAUUCAAAUUAACCAUGGAGAUAAAAUAUUAUAAGAUAGGACAAAAGAUAUAUAAAAGAAAAGCAAGUACUACAAACAUAAACAAGACAAAAGUUGGGAGACAAAUGGAAGAUUAGAAUCUUGAAUAAAGAUGAAUGAAGGAUAAGAUGAUAUUUCAUUGUAUUUAAGCCAAGGACUUAGCAUAGUAAGGACAUUCCUUCUAGUCGUAUGAUAGUUAGAUUAAAGUAGUAGUAGUCAAGGAUUAGUAGCAGACCAACUCCAAGUCUUUGUACUUGUAUAGAUCCUUGAAUUUCCUUAUUGCAAUAAAGCCUUCUCUUGUUCCAAUCUUAUUGCAUAUUGAUCUUAUCAAGUAUGAUAGUAUGAAGAUAACAAGGAAGAAGAUCACUCAAAUCAUACAAUAGACUACUAUGGAUUAAUAUUGAAAUUAUUGAAGAUUCAUUUGAGAUUUUGCAAGGAUUUAUUCUUUGAAGCCUUAAUUCUCUAAAGCUAUACAAAAUGCGGUAUGACAUCAUAGAAUUUUGUUUCAUUUAUAUAUAUAUAUAUAUAUAUAUAUAUAAAAAUAAAUAAAUAAAAAUAAUACUUGUAGAUGGUGAGAAUGAUUUUUUUUCUAAUGCAUAUAUAUGUUUUAAUGCUUUUAUUGGUCUAAAUCUAAAAGAUUGUAUAUAUAUUCCUUCACUUGUUUUUUUUACUAGAAUUUGGACCUUUAAAAACAAAGUCUAAAACCUUUGGUUAUUUUCAUCAUUGAAUUAAGAAUGUUAAAUUACUUAAAAACUUUAAAUUUAUCUUGAAAUAAUAGAAAAUAUAUAUAUAUAUCUAUAUAUAUAUAUAUAUAUAUAUAUAUAUAUAUAUUUUAGAUAUUCAAAAUCUUGUUUAUUUUAGGCUAUGUACUUGCAUGCUUUAAAGUUCUACAAUUCUAUAAAAUAUCUUUAUAAUUAACUAAGUUAUUAGAAUGUCUCUUCAUCUUUUCUUGUAUGAAAAAUGGUUAUUUUAACUUUGCUCAAUUUUGAAAGAUCUUCAAAUAAAAAUGCACAAUUGUGUUAUUUUAUUUUGUUGACAUCAAUAAAAACACUACAAAUAAAUCAAUCAACCUUUAUUUCAAGAGUCUUAAUAAGUUUCUUUGAUUUCAUCUUUAAUAUUUUUGGUUGUUAUUAUUUUCACAAAUUCUUUUCUUGCAUUCCAAAUUGGUGAUUUUGUUGUUUAUAGAAAGAUCAACUAAAUAUUUUAUAAAUACAAAAAAAAUUAAAAAAUAAAUGAAAACAAUCAUCUUUUGCAUAGCUAUAGAACCAUACUAUAAUAUCACAAUUCAAAAAAUAACACAUGAAGAGGUGCUAAUAGUUUUGUAAAUCAAAAAUUAUUUAAGAUAUGGUACAACUACACUUAGUGAAUUCACAAUGAGUGCAUUCAUAGAUUAAAAUAUUGCACAAGAAGAUGAAGAAGCCAUGAAUUAGAAUAUCAAUUACUAAUAAGUAACUAAAAUUUUUAUAAUAAUUAUAACAAUGAAAGUUAUUCUAAGAAUUUCAAAAAACAACAAAAACCAAGACAAAUAAAAAGAAUAACACUUGCAUACACAACAACCAGAAUCUAAUCUCUUGUUUGUUUGUAUGUUUAAUCUUUUCUGCAUUUUGCUUAUACUCACUUUAUGAAUUCCAUAGUAAAGAAUCAAAGGUUUUGGUACAUUUAUAGAAAUUGAGUUAAAUCUUCCAUGAUAUGUUUGUUUUUUGUAGUUCAAGUGUUUUGUAGGUAAAGUAUGGUUUAAUCAAAUGUUUUUAAUAGUAAUAGUUUUAAAAAAUCUUGUUGGAUGAUAGAUUUUUUCUAUUCUUUUUUGAAGUUUUACCAUGUAAAUAUGUAUUUUUAGAAUGGAAUACUUUGGUACUUUAUGUAUGUAUUUAUUUGUAGAUGUUAAUAUAUGUAUAUAUAUAUAUAUAUAUAUAUAUAUAUACCUUUCAACUAUAUAUGCAAUACAAAUAUUGGUAAUGCAAUUAUUUGUGUAUAUAUUUUUAUAAUUUUUUUGUCUUCUUUAGCAAAAAAAAAAUGAAUAUUUUUCCAAAUAGGAUACAUACUUUAAUUGAGAUCAUGAGGUGAUUGUUGAUUAGAAAUAAUUAGUGUGGUAAUGGUUUAUCUUAUAUUAUAUUAAUUUCUUACAUAUCUAUGUGUGUGUAUGUUUAUAAAUUUGGCAUUUCAAUAUUUGAAUUCAUUAAAAUACUUAAGUGAGCGGAGAUAGGGGCAUCUACUCUUCUUAGAAUACGAAUAAACACAAAUGUUAAGUAGGUGCCACGGUGACGGGGUGCGGUGAGCCUGGUGUUUCCAAACUUAUGGCAACCAAUACAAAACAAAAUUUAAAGCCACGGUUGAUGUCCCGGUGCGGAAAUAGGUCGUCUCUCUCUCGCGGGAAUUAAUUCACUAAUCUCAUUACUCGCUUUCUUUUGCAGGACUAGGGUUUCGCUUCACUCUGUUGUCGCCGACCCCGCGCGCUUGCUUGCUCGCUUGCUCUGCAACGAACACUUAAUGUUCGUUUUAUUCGCAAAGGCUGUAGAGCAGAGCAAGCCAGUGCUGCAAUGACGACCUUACUUGAGACAUCCGAGGAGGAGCCGACGAUGGCCGUGGCCCGCACUAUAGCGGAGCUUGCAUGGUCUCAAGGCGGGCCUGAUGUGAGCUUGUCUUCCUUCUGCUUUUAUCCUCCUGUUUUACCCUGUAUCGAGCAUUUUCACUUGCCUUUUGACAAGUUGAAGACAUAUCGGACUGCAAUCUUGGGCUGUUUCUGUGAAGAACGUGGUUCUCGACGUAAUGGAUGGAUUUAUAGCUGUUUCGGGGGUGGAUUUUGUUCUUGGAAUGACAACUUUACUGUGGUUGAUGAAGCCUUUCGGUUUGCUUGUCUUUUAUGCAGAUUGCGGGACCAGCAGUUGCGCAAUUCUGUAAUGAAGCUCAAUCAUAUUUGAUGGAUAAAUGGUAUCCAGAUCUUGUCAAUUUGUUGCUCACAUCUGCAGACCUCGUGCUUGCGAAUGCCUCCGAGAAAGGUAUCCGGCAUGAGUUUUAACUUUUUCUGUAUUGUUUCAUAUCAUAGCGAUCUUUUUUGUUUGUUUGUUUGUUCAUUUAUUUUAUUUAUUUUCUUUUCUGGAGUUACAAAUAGCAGUGCAAUUUUUCGUUUAGAAUGAAGUUUUCCACAUUCAUGAAUUUUUUAGUUUCUGCAUUGUUUGUUUCGACUUCCUCGCGAAUGUCGGUUAUGCAAUCCAACUUCAUUGAAGUAUUGGAAUCUUCAAUGCCGCACGAAUUCCAGUGGAUUCGUUACAUAUUGGAUUUAAUCUUUGCGCUUGUGCUCUGCAGAUAUGGAAUGCAUUUUUACUGUCAUCUCCAAUUUGGUAUCGAAAGCACAAAGCCCAGAUGACGCACUUGCCAUGGCGGACCAAAUUGCGAACAAGCUCACUGUUCAGCCCAUUGACAAGCCAGUCAGUCGACUUAAAAUGUACUUCAUCUUCCUCAUCAUCCUCUUCACGCAUAAUGGAAUAUAAUCGCAGUAUAUGUUCAAUUUGGUUCUAUGAGCAAGGUCACCUGCUUUUUCCUCAAGAGUUUCGGUUGCUGAGAGAUAGCUGCUUAUUGCAAAUGUGUCAUGUAUGUAAUGCUCUGCUCAUAUCCUCACAAGGCUGACCUGAGGCUGUAAUUGAAGAAAUUUAAUUGACUGAGUUAUUAUACUACCUUUGUCCUCGAGGGUUCUUGUAGGACAUUUUUUUUAAUUCUGGUCAGCUUCAUGCCUUCCUAAUUUAAGCCGCGCUCUGUGGGGCUUGCAGCUUAUUUCACUUGUAUAAUGUGCUAGAGAACCCUUACGGUCGGUUUUUGAUCUUUAAGAGAGUGCUCAAGCUUGCCGUAGCUGGAAAAGUCACGGAACUGAUUGUGCCUAUUUUCAAGCGCAUGGAUGCAUUCUUACACGAGUGGAAUAUUAGUGAGAGUGAUAAGCGUGAUAUAUUCCUUUCUGCAACAAACAUUUUGAAGGACCAAAAAGGGUAGGUCUCUUAAAUUACGUAUAUCGUCAUGUACGUUGAUAUUGUACAUUGUGAUUUUUUAUACUUUCUUUUAGUAUCACUCUAUUUAGAUUCAAAGACAACUUACCGGAUUCAGGUUUCUAUAAUGGGUUCCAGAUGAUGGUCUGUGGUACUACUUAUGGUAGUAUUCAUCUUUUUCAGUAAGAAAACUUUUAAUUUAUAAAUCUUAUCUUUACCCGUACCUUUUGACGUAGUCGCUAUUCAACCAUCAUGAAAGUCGUGUAGGUACACGAAGGACUCAUACGCAUUUCUGUUCAAGUACCUGCAAACCUUUAUUGGAGAGGAUGCGAGUACAUUGAACGAAGCUAAAGAGGAAGCUGUCAGAGCUGUCAUAGAAUUUGUCAAGUCUCCGGACAUGUUUCAGGUUAAUCUCGCUCAUUCGGACUCCUUAUCAACUAUGUCUGUCCUGAUUUUGAAAUCACAGGUUGUGCCUUUUCUGCUACUCUUUUUUGAAGUGGUUGUAUGUGCAAAUAUUUCAUGCUGACAUGAUGUUACUGCAGAAACAUCGUUGGGGUGAUCAGAGCGUUUUCCUUGUAAGUAUCUGAACUUCUUAACUUUCCAAUAUGGCUAUUUCAAUCUAUCGUUGAACCUGUUCUUUUCUUCACAGGAAUAGGACCUGACAGAUAUUUGGAUCUACAGAUACAUGUAAUUGAUGCUGUUAAUUACGAUGAAAAAUGAUAAGUUGACUUUCGCUUGUCGGCAGAUAACAUUCUUUCUAUUAUUUGUGAUCCCCAGUGUGACCUAUUGGAUAUGCCAGCCGUAAAACAACUCGAAAGGGACCCCAAGUAUGAGCCUGUAUAUCGUUUGCUCGAGAUAUUUUUGACUGGCCGUCUUGCGGAUUACCUCGAGUUUCAAGCUGCAGAUGCUGCUACUUUGGAGAAUUAUGGUAUGUUUAUCAUCUUUGGGGUUGUUGUGAUCAAAUUACCUGCUGGAAUAUGUAUGUUCAUAGAUACUUUUGCUUGCAUGCAGGACUUGUACAUGAGGAUUGUGUUACUAAAAUGCGGCUGAUGUCGCUAGUGGGGCUUGCUACUGCGGCUUCCGGAGAGGUUUCUUAUGCUGUCAUCCGUGAUACUCUGAAGGUACACAGUUAACGGUUUAUGGAAGCAUCUGUCUUGCUUUUAUACUUCAUAAGUAUAUUCAAAAACCUCAUUAUUUUGUAGUCGGGUCCUCUCAUUCGACUACUGUCGUUUGUCCUUGGCCAGGUUGCUGAUGACGAGGUCGAGCACUGGGUUGUGAGAGCUAUUGGAGCAAAGCUACUUGAGGCUAAGAUGGAUCAGCAUAGACAAACAGUGAUUAUUGGGUACGUAUUAAUGAGUAUACACAGUAUUAAGAGAAAAUAUGUUCUGAAAAUUUUCUUAACCUUCUUAAUCUCUUGUAACAUGUUCUGCAGUCAAUGAUCCAGUCGUGCAUGCAACACAUUCACUCUGACUCUCUCUCUCUCUCUCUCUCUCUCGCUCUCUCCCCACUCUGUCUCUCUCGUUUAGCACAAGGAUGAAUCUUCUGCUUUGAGAAAACAAUCAUUUGAUUAUCUGUUGCAGACGCUGCACUGGGAGGGUUUUCGGACCUGCACAAUGGCAAGAGUUGCGCACAGGACUCGCUGGUUGGAAGGUUAGCAAACGUUAUCUAUUGGCUCCGACUUAUGUGUGUAUUACGUUAUUUGUCGGGUUGGUGCCAUAUUGUAUGAAUCUGUUAUUGUGCACGCAGUUGACAGAAUCGAAGUUUAUCUCUUGUUUUACGUAUGUCUCCGAGAUCUUGUAGUAGAAUUUUGAAGCGCUGCGUUACUAAUACGAAAGUUCGCUGUGUACAGGAGAACAUCAACAACGUAGGAAGGAUCAUAGCUCAUGCAAAGUUAUCACAAGGCGGCAUCCCGCAAGCUCUUCAAGUUUAAUCAAAUAAACUAGCAUAUUUUCUUUGAGAUUUAAGUAUGGGAUUGAUUUGUAAUAGGCUAGCAGUGACCUGGAUUGGUCAAGACACUUACGGUUAAGUUGUGAGGCUCGCGUAGGGCAAUUUUCUCGGGAACGUUUUUGGAAAUGAACGCUGAUUUCGAAUAUUAUUAUUCUCUUGUCUAUUUCUGUGUUACUCGUAUACCUGUCGACUUUCAAUUAUUCGACCUGCAUGAUGCACUGUUGUGAUGCUGUUAUUGCAGCCAUGAACAAAAUUCGGGGGUCUGUCAAUCUCCAUGUCAUGCGUUGGAAUUUCCAUUUGAGACAAUUCUGAUUGGAUGGAAUAUCUUCUACAUAGAGUUUUGCAUUUUUCUAGGAUAUAGUUACAUGAGCACUGAUAUCAAAAUUCAUAAAAAUCAAGUGACUUCAAUAUUCAAGACGACCGGGGCAACCUAACCCCUAGACCGGGACCAUAGUAGUCUUCGUCCAUAUAAUGGAUUUUAGUCAAUUUUUAACAGAGUUUUUGUAUACAUGUUCAUGCUUACUUGCAAAAAUUGAAACUUAAAGACGAGGCCAAGGGGCCUUAGCCAGAGCUGAGGGAGGCUUAAGGCUAUGGGAGGCAGAAGUCAAGGGAACCUUGGGUAGAGCCAAGGGAAGGCUAAGGCUAUGGGCUAGUACUAAGCUCAUGUUCUUGCUUAUUCGUAAAAAUUGGAAUUUAGGGCCGAGGAAGUAGAGGCAGAGGGGGUCUUCGUCAAAGUUAAGAGAGGGUUGAGGUCAUGGGCUAGGAAGAAGCUGACCAACUUUCCCAAAAAAAUUGGAAUUUAAGAUUGAGGAAGCAAAGGCUUAAGGGGCCUUGGCUAGAAAUGAGAGAGGGCUAAGGGGCCUUAGAUAGAGCUUAAGGAAGAUUGAGGUCAUAGGCUAGAGAGUACCCUUCUCACAGAAAUUGGAUCUUAAAAUUGAGGAAGCACCGACCUAUGCUUGCAUGCAAAAAUUAGAACUUAGAACCAAAGAAGAAGAGGCCAAUCGAGCCUUGGCUAGAGCCAAGGCUUAGAUGAGGCAAUGAACUAGAGAGAAGUGAUAAAGCAUUAAGAAGAGGGAUCAAAACAUAAAUAUAGUGCAAUCAAUCUCUUACAUAAGUGGUUGAAUUUAAUCUUGGAACUCACAAUUAAUCUAGUGCUACCAAAAUCUAUAAUCAUUGGCAUCAAUCUAUCCAAGUUCUAACUUUGACACCAAAUCUUAUAUUAUUUAUAGGAUAUUUUUAAAUUAAUCCAAGAAUUUACUAAAUUCAUCCAUCCAUCGUCAUUGAUUGUAGAUCUAACUAUUUUUUCAUUGAUUUUCAACCAACAUGAAUCUAAUAGUGGAGAUUUUCUUUUUAUAAUGGUUUGGAUGGGUGGGUUAAUUUUAUAAAUUCUUCAUUAUAUUAGUAUAAACUCUUCUUAGCCCAUUGCUUGGUUGUUACUCAUUGGUAGCAAGAUAGGUUAAACCAAGAUUAAUUAUCACAAAUAGAUGAAAUCUUAUGGUAAAGUUCUUAGGAAAUGCUUUGCAAAACCAUUUCUAAGGCCAUUAGCUCAAAGAUAAUUAUAAAAGUGUUUCUUUUUGAAUUUAUAUUGCUAUUAUUCAUCCAUCUUUCUUUAAUAACAAUAAGAUUUAUUAAUUCUUUAGAGUAUAAAAUUUAUUAACUGAAGAAAAAAAAUUAUGAAAAAAAAAAAAACAUAUAUAUAUAUAUAUAUAUAUAUAUAUAUAUUUAAUAAGAAAAAAAUCUAAAGAAAAUCUAAAACCAGAGUUGUUGUUUAAAAAUCUCACAUGAUUCAUUCUUAAAAAUAAACUAUUAUAAAACUUUAAACAAAUAUUUUUUCUACAAAUAAGAACUAUUAUAACAAUAAACUACUAUAAUAUAUAAUUAUAAAAUUUAUUAAAGUCAAAACUAUUAUUAUUUUUUUAAUGUAAUUAAUAUUUUAAGAUAAAUUUGAAUUUUUGACUUUGAGAUGACUAAUUAAAUUUUUAUUAUGUUUAAUUUGCAAUAAAAUAUUUUUAUUUUUAUAGAUUAAUUAAAUAAAAAAUACUUAUUUUAAAAAAUACAUAUAAAUACUUACUAUUUUUUCAAUAUCAUAUAUAAUUAGAAUUACUAUUAAAUUUAUAUUUAUUUAUGUAAUAUUAAUAAAUAAAUAAAAAUAUAUAAUUAAGUUUUAAAAAACUAAAUAUAUAAUUUUAAAUACAUAUUGUCUAAUAACCUAUUAAAUUCUAUUAAGUUAUAUUAUUUUUUGUAGUUUUGAUUUAUAAAGAGAAUUUAACAUUUUAUAACAAGUUUAUUUUUUUAAUAUUAUUUUAUUUUGACUUAUAAAUUUUAAAAUAUUAGAUGAAAAAUUAAAUUAAAAUAUUUUAAAAUAAUAAAACUUAAAUAUAAAAUAAUUAUAAUACAAAUUUAAUAUCUUUAUUUCAUAUUAAUGUUUUAAAAAUAUAUAUCUAAGAUAUGGAACAAAUUUGUUAUGUGACAGGAUUUAACCUUUCAAUUUAAAAGAUUGUAACUACCUAUUAUGUAACAAGAUAUAAAUAAGAUAUUUUUAUAGGAAUAGAUAGUUAGAACCAUGGAAGUUUCUAGAAUUGGAAUUAUAUUAGUGGACUAUGUAGGAUCCAUCAUAGAACAUUCUAAAAAGAAUUUAGGGAGGUCAUUUAGAUGGAGCCUACCAUAGAACCUUCUAAAAGGAAUUAAAAAAAGUUAUCUAAGUCGAAUCUACUAUCUAUAAACAUUCUAGAAAGUCCAAGGUAGUAGAACAAAGUAUAAAUAAGAUUGGUCAGAGCCUUUUGGAGCACCUAGUCAGGUAUAGCUUUGAACCUUCUCUCUUAGUAAAGUUUGGUUUUGUAUCUUCUUGUUCAAUUCAGUUUUGUUUUAUUCUUGUUGGUUCAAUUAUUUUUUUAUCCAUUUUAUAUUACUUUGUGAUAAGGUUUUAUAUUGCUGUGGAUUUGAAGAGUCUUAGACACCUAAGAUAGAUUGGUCAUGUUUCAUCAUAUGUUAGACUAUUUACUUUUGGUAGUGUAUUAAUAGUCAUUCAUCUAGUUGAAGAUUAAUUGUUCUGGUCAUAUUAGAUAUUAUGUUGAAGCUAUCACGAGCUAUUCUUAAAAAGUCAAAUGGGAAGUAAGAAGGCAUUACAAUAGUAGAAUCUGGUAGAAAAAUUACAACAUGGAAGAUAUAGGGAAAUAAUCCAAGAUAGACAUUCAAAUAUAGUACCUCUUAGGCCAGAUAGCUACUUUAUAAGGGCAAAUAGAAGCCUCGAGGUUAAGGGAGUCAAUAUCUAUUAAGUUAAAAUUGAAUAAGCCUAAUACAUACUCUAGGACUUCAAGACAAGAAGAUGUAUGUCAAUGGCUCUUCAAUAUGUGACAGUACCUCUAACUAUCUGGGACAAAUACCAUUGAAGGAAUUAUAUAUGAUAGCCAUUUGGUGGUGACAUUGAAUUCAAAGCUAUGGAGCUUAAGGUGGAUUUUGUGAUUGAGAGGAGUUUGAGACCGAGUUUAAGAAUCAAUUUUGGUCCAUCAAUGCAGAGAAGAUAGCAUGCAAACAAUUGAUAAAUAUUACACAAUCUAUGUCAAUGCAAGAUUAUAUCUUCCAAUUCAAGUCUCUAUAUCUCCAAAUUAAUAAUAUUUUAAAUGUAGAGAUGAUGGAUCGCUUCCUACAAGGUUUGAAACCUGUCAGGAACUGCUAUAUUGAAUAGCACAAGGGUAGAGCAAAUAAGGUGCAUUAAAUCUUUUUAUCUCAUUAUAAGCUGAUAACACUAGUAACGACUCAUAUUAAGGCUAGUAAGUAAGUCCUACAGCCUAAAGCAGUAAAAAACAAAUAAAAUUUGUUACAAAAUCCGGCUAAUAGAGAUAUUUCUACCAGAAGCAAGACCUAUAGCAUGAAGUCAUAUGUCGCUAUCUAAUACUAUGGCACAACAAUGAAUGCUAAUGGAGAUUGAUGCCAUACAAUGAUCAUUGAUACCACAAAAAUGACAAAUAUUAGUACAAAAAGGAUUUUUUUUCUAUUGUCGGGAGCCAAGCCAUCAAAUUGGAGGUUGUCCAAAACAACAAAAUUCAAACAUCACGAAGAUAAGGUGGAUUCAUAGUCUCAAAACUCACUAAGUCGAUAAUGAAAAAGAAUAGGAAAAUUAGAUUCUCUAGUAAAGGUACCAAGGAUCAAUACUUGAUCAAGAAGUAUGCUACUAGGUAGGUCUUUUAAAUAGAACUAUUGUUUGGAUCCAAACAAGGAAAUCAACCAAGUUAUAACCUAACACCAAAAAAACUUGAAGAAUUGUAGAAGACAGUGGAUGAAUUUUUAGAAAAAAACCUCAUUCAAGAAAACACAUGACUAUGGAAAGCACUUAUAUUCUUUGCAUCCAAGAAGGAUGUUGGACUUUGCCUUUGCAUCAACUAUCAAGGCUUCAAUUAGCAGAUUGUUAAAAAUACAUAUCUACUUUUAUGUAUGGAUGAUCUUCUUAACCAACUUCGACGUGCGAUCAUCUUUAAUAAAUUGGAUCUUUGAAGUGGCUAUUAGCAAACACCUAUUGUAAGAAAGGACUUAAAAAAGAUAACAUUUUGUAUGAACUAUGGAUAUUUUGAAUGGUUGAUUUUACAUUUUGGCCUUACCAAUGCUCCAGCCUCUUUCAUGCAUCACAUGAAUAGAUUAUUUUAGAACCUUUUGGACAAGUAUGUAGUUGUCUUCAUUGAUGAUAUCCUUGUAUAUAAUAAAAUCUUUGAAGAGUAUGAGCAACAUCUAAGAAAAAUAUUGCACUGACUACAAUAUAGUUGUUUUUAUUACAAGAAAUUAAAAUGUGAACUUUGGAAGUUGAAAGUCAUCUUUUUGGAGCAUGUAGUGUCUUCCAAAUGCAUGUGUAUGGCACAAGAGAAGGUGAAAGUAGUGGAGGAUUAGCCAAUUUCUAAAGAUGCUUCUGAUGUUCACUCAUUUUUAGGCCUUACUAGAUAUUAUCCCCAUUUUAUUCGGUGAUUUGUUCACAUUGUUGCUUCAUUGACAAACCUACUACAAAUAGGUGUUCCAUUUGAAUGGAAACUAGAGCUACAAAGCACCUUUGAUAAGUUGAAGGAGGCACUUAUUAUUGCUCUAAUAUUGCAACCAUAUGAUUUUAACCUUCCUUGUACACUUGACAUUGAUGCUUCUCACUUUGCUAUUGGAGCGGUCCUUCAACAAGACUUUGGUAGGGACCUUCAAUCUAUGGCAUAUGAAUCACAUAAGCUUAGAAGGGCAAGGCCCAAUUACUCUGCACAUGAUUGAGAGCAAUUAGCAAAUGUACAUACCACAAAAGUGUGGUGACACUAUCUGGUGGAAAAGCCAUUCAUUGUUUGAAUUGACUAUCGAUCCUUGCUAUACAAUUCAUAUCUAAAAAAUAUGAAAUCAUGACAUCAUCAUUAGAAAGAACAGUUGUAGCUUUUUGAUAUUCAGUUUGAGUACAAACAAAGGCAAUAACAUACUAUGCCAAACAACUUAUUAUAGAGACUAGACUAGAAGGACAAAUCAAGAAACAAGGUAGAAGUGGCUACCAUUAGUAGUGUCAUUUCAAAUCUAACCAAAGAGAUGGAAUGGAAGGAAGCUAUGCAUGAAGAUGAUUAUUUCAAAAUAGUUAGCAAUAGGCUAAAAGUAGAUAAUAUAUAGUAUGGAAAUUACAUUCUUAGUGAUGGCUUGCUCUAUUUCAAGAAGUGGAUUUAUGUACCUGAAAAUGCUAUAUUUCAAACGUGCAUACUUCAAGAAGGACAUUACAUCCCAAUAUUUAGAUAUUUGGGACGAGAAAAGACUUUAGAACGGAUUUCAAGGACAUGAUUUUAGGCAAGCUUGGAUUGUAAUAUUUGAGCCUUUGUGUACUCCUGCGAGUCAUAUCAACGUAAUAAAGCAUACAACAUAGCAUCUCUUAGACUAUUGUAGCUAAUUCUACUACCUACGAUAUGUUGAAAGCAGGUGACUAUGAAUCUCAUUACAUGUUUGCCACAGGCACUUCAUAAUCAUACUUUAGUUGCCGUCUUUAAGAAUCAAUUCUUGAAGCAACUUCAUUUGGCCACAAUGCUCUUGGAUAUUAAUGCCCUAGUACUUGUACAAGUCUUCUUUGAUAUUGUCUUUCAUCACCAUGGAUUACUUUGUGUCAUCAUUUCACAUUGAGAUCCACACUUCAUGAAAAGUUUUUGGCAAACCUUGUUUAAGCUAUUAGGCAUAUGACUUGUCAUGUCUAUAGUCUUCUAUCUCCAAAUAGAUGGGCAAAUAGAGUGUACAAAUCAGACCUUAAAGGAUAUAUUAUAGAUAUUUGUGGUGGUUCAUCAUAAUGAUUAUGAUGAAUACUUGAUGUCCUUGAAAUUUGCUUAUAAUGAUAGUAUUCAAGCAAGUACAAGUCAUUCACCAUUUUUCUUUAAUAUUGAUUAACAUUUGAUUAUGCUAGUAACUUUCCAUCAUCCCAUUGACACCAAUAAUCCAAUAAUGGAAGAAUUUAUAAAAUGACAUACAACAGCCUUAUAAGAGGCAUGGCACCACCUCUUUAUUAUAUAGAAUCAAUAAAAGUAAUAUAUAGAUAACCAUUGACAACAUAAGACCUUCUAGGAGGGUGAGUAGGUAUUAUUCUCCAAUGCCAACUUGCCACUUGCUACAUCAACUCAAAUCUGUAAGCUAGCACCUCAAUGGCUUGGACCUUUCUCCAUUUCUGCAAUGAUUUUUAAUGUUGCAUAUUGCCUUGACCUUUUGCCACAUACUUGGGUCCAUCUAGUCUUCUAUGUUUUGCAAAUGAAAGAAUUUCAUAUUGAGCCAAAGUGCUUUUUGGAUCAAUACCAACCACUACCACCAUCAGUUGUAAUUGAUGAUCAAUAAGAAUAUAAAAUAAAUAGCAUUUUGGAACAUUGCUACCUUUGCUGUGGCAAUGGAUGUCGACAACUUCAGUACAAAGUUCUUUAGAAAGGUUAUCUCAUUUAUGAUGCAAUGUGAGAACCUGCACAAAACUUCAUCCAUUGCUAAGAGACAAUGUAGAAAUAUCAUCGAGAUCAAAAUGAGGAUGUUCUGCAUUAGUAGAAGAUGAUUAAUUAUAAUAGGGUAUAAAAAAGAUAUUUGUAUAGGAAUAGAUAGUUAGAACCAUAGAAGUUUUUAGAAUUGAGGUUAAAUUAGUAGACCGGAUAGGAUCCACUAAAGAACAUUCUAAAAAGAAUUUAGGGCAAUUAUUUAGGUAGGAUCCAUCAUAGAACCUUCUAAAAAAGGCUUAGGGCGGUUAUGUAAGUAGGGCCUACCAUAGGACCUUCUAGAAGGAAUUUAAGGCAGUUACCUAAAUGGGAUCUAUUACCUAGGAACAUUCUAGAAAGUCAAAGGUGGUAGAACAAAGUAUAAAUAAGACUAACUAGGGCCUUUUAGGAUACUUGGUCAAGUAUGGCUUCAAACCUUCUCUCUUAGUAAAGUUUGGUUUUGCAUCUUCUUAUUCAAUUCAAUUUUGUUCUAUUUCCAUUAGUUCAAUUUUUUUUUGGUCUAUUUUGUCUUACUUUGUGAUAAGGUUUUAUAUUGUUGUGGAUUUAAAGAGUCUUAGACACCCAAGAUAGAUUGGUCAUGUUUCAUAUUAUAUGCCAAAAACACCAAAAAAAAUUGGGUAUAAGAUAAACAUACAAUAAAAUAUUAGUAGAAGAUAUAAUUUAUGGAUUUACCAAAUGAGUGUUCAUAUGUUCUAAUGUCAAAACAAAAGAGAUAGAUGUUUUAAAUACUACCACAAUAUAAUUAAAAAAAAUAAAAUAUAAUCUUAAAAUUUAUUUUUAGUCUUUUAAAUUAGAUUCAAUGGCAUAUAUAGCCAAAAAUAAUAUAAAAAGUUUUUAGAGAACAUACUUUAUAAAACUUAAUAGAAUCUAAUUGAAGUGACAACCCAUAUCCAAACUUCAAAUUUAAUUCAAAAAAGAUAUGACUUAUUUAAUUUAACUAAACUAAAUAAUAAAUUCUUAUAUGAUUGUUUUGAUAUUAAGAGAUUAUUAGUAAUAUGUAAAGAACAAUGCUAAGCCAUCAUUCUAAUAAUAAUAAAAAAUAUACCUAUAAAUUUAUGUUCAAUUAUUUAUAAAGUACAAGAAUAUCCUUAAGAAAUGUGUGUUUGAGAUUAGAUAACACUUCUAAUUUAUAAAAUAGAAAAUAGUCUUAAAAGUGAAAAAUUAUAAAAAGUGUCUUCAUAGCAACAAAAAAAAAUUGUAAGUAGUAUAUUAUCAAGUUUUUAAAGUUUAUCAACUAAUUAGUUUGUACUUAAAAAAAAUAAUUAUCAAAAAUCUAAACUUAUUAAAAUAAAAAUAAUAAAGCAUAAUAAAAUGACCAUUAGACAAAGAAAAUAAUAUGAUAUAAUUUUGUAAUAUACAAUUAUUUGAUGUAGAAAGUUAAAUGAAUUAAAUAAGUAAAAAUAUUUUUACAUAGAUGAAAGAAAUUAUGUAUGACUAAAAACUUGCUUUGAAAAUAGGCACAAAAAUAUUUUAGAAUUCUACAAUUCUACCAAUUGGUCUAAAAAUCUAUAAGUUAAAGGAAACAAUGUUGGUACUAAUAGAAAUUUAUUAUAAUAAGUUAAUAUUUUCUUAGGUUUCAUUUAUCAAUAGGAUGUUUUGGCCUUGAUGUUUUUUUUAAUUGUUUUAUCUUUUUAUCAAUGUCUUAAAAAAUAUUCUUUGUAAUUAAAUUUGUAUAUGAAAAAAACAAAACAAAAAACAAAAAAUACACCAAUUGCUAUAAAAUAUAGAUAAUCUUAGAAGAUCUUUAUAUUACAACUAUUGAUACUUAGAAUUUGUUAAAUCAAGAAGUCUUAUUUAAUUGGCCAAUUAAUCAAGAGACCUUAAGAAGAAAAAAGAUGAAAUGGAAUACAUUAUUUUUUAUGUGACCUAAAUAUUUUUAUACUUUAGAAUUUGCAUCAAGAUUUACUUCAAAAGGCAAAUUUUAUAGAAAUUAAAUUAUACAAAGUGGAUUUUUGUAUAAUUUAAUUUCUAUAAAAUUACUAAAAACCAAUACUAAAAUUUUCAAAUGAACUUUUUUAUAUUAUUAUUAUUUUAAAGUUUAGUAUAUGAAAUUCCAUAUUUAAAUUUACAAUAGGAUAAUUUGGUUCAUUUUAUGACCCCUUCUCACUUCAUAAUAUUAAUGGUGUCUCUAAAUAAAAACAACUUUUUUUUCACCAAAUACUAAACCUUUAUAAAACUUUUCACCAAAUAAAUCUCAACAUGCUCCUUCAAUCAGUUAUUCCAAACUAUUCCUAAUAAACCCAAGAUCCAGGGGGGUUAAAAAGGCGGUUUCUAUCCACAUAAGCCCAUUUUUCGAAGAUUGAGAUUGCAAACGCAACUCAACGAGAUAAUUAUAAAAAAAUAAUAAUAAAAUAAUAACAAAAAAGAAGUCUAAGGAUGCGAUGAGUACAUCCUGGCAAUGAUUCAAUCAACGCCCACAUCAUUCAAUUGAGUCCUAUAUCCUCCUGCACCCAAGCACUCAUUGACUGGAAUUGUGGAACACAUGCCACGAAGUUCCACCGACCAAGAAUAUCCCCGAGGCCAGUCGGCGGUGUUGCAACUCGGACAAAAAUGCUAUCUUUGAACAAGGUCGGUGGAAUGAAUAAUUGUUCAAACCUUGUCUUAUCUGAUAAAUAAGGUAAGUAUAAAAAAUCACAAUGUACAACAGCAACGUAAAUGACGAUAUACGUAAUUUAAGUGACCUACCCUUUUUGGUCCUUCAAAAUGUUUGUUGCAGAAAGGAAUAUAUCACGCUUAUCACUCUCACUAAUAUUCCACUCGUGUGAGAAUGCAUCCAUGCGCUUGAAAAUAGGCACAAUCAGUUCCGUGACUUUUCCAGCUACGGCAAGCUUGAGAACUCUCUUAAAGAUCAAAAACCGACCGUAAGGGUUCUCUAGCACAUUAUACAAGUGAAAUAAGCUGCAAGCCCCACCGAGCUUGUUCAACCCUUGUUCUGAUAAAUCAAGGUGCUAUCUUAUCUGAUAAAUCAGGUAAGUCGGCACACAGUACCUCAAGGUGAUAUUUGAGUAGUCUCUAGUCUCGUCAUUCACCACUAUGGGCCUGCAGAUGAGGUCCACCGAUGCAGAAUAUCACUAAAGCUGUUUCUUGAGUAGCCAUGGCAGCUCCCAAUCAAAUUUUCUUGUUUGUUGUGGGGUAGGACGUCGCCUGCUUCAGUAAGAUCCAUGGCCACAAAAGAGAAAAAUGCUAAUCUGCGUUAUCCCAGAUUGGAUGUGGUAUCCUUUAAUGGAAAUCGCAAUCUAUUUCAGCUUGUGCCGUACUACCUACUCCCAAUUCAAGGACCUGCAAAUUCUAUAGGAGUUGGACAAUGUCGCCAGCUUUGUAGCUACUCACGAUUUGGUCCAACGAUGCCGAUUGAUCCACUUCUACAGUGUCGGGCACAUGGUGAUGAUAAAGAAUCAUAGUCCCUUGUCUUGCAACAAGUGUAAUCUGUCCACACAAGCUGCUUCCAAACUGGAUAGCAUAUUCAGGAGCCCUUAAAAAGGAAGGAAAGUCUCAUUCCGCAGGACAGCUUGAGUCUCUGCCUUGAUUCAACUCGGCAUCGUGACGAGAACGUGAUCCUCGCCUGUCACCAAGAGUCCUUAUUGGAUGCGGGCAUUCUCGUGCAUGAAUUCCGUGUUGGAAAGUCUUCCACUGAAUCUUAAAAUAUUCCAACUUAUCAACUCUCGUGAAGCCCGGUUGCUGGUUGUCACUUAACAUGCACAUCUCAUAUAAAAGUCGCUUAAGUCAAGCAGCAUCGAUGUUAGUACAGCAGUGCACUAAUUCGUUGAGAUUGAAUCAAGGUGAGGUGAUUUGAAAUUCCCAGCUUGGAUCGUUGGGUUAAAACUGAUUAGAGAGGUUGAUAAGCUGAUCAAACGAGGCCAUCCUUAGCCCAUUUGCAAUGUAUCUCGAUCGAUGUAAGUAAAUCCAAGUUUUUGUGAAAUCAAGCACAUGUGACAUCUCCGAUUCAUGAAGAAACCUUCAUGACGCUUAUUGCUGGAGGUAAGACUAUCCAAAUUGUUCAAGUUUCUCCGAAGAGGCUGAUACAGCAACAAACAUCUAGGUACCUGACCUCGACAACACUUGCAUGUGAAAAAGUUUGAGAUUCUAGCUUCAUAGAUUGCUUUCCCUCCUAAGCGAAAGCAGUCACCAAACUGAACGUAAUUGCGAUUUGGUUCCUCAUAGCCGACACAGCUAGGUACAGGUGGCUUGUGAGCAUGAUCUACUACAAAUCGGUCAUGAACGUCCUGUUGCAGCUUUGAUAAUUGUGAGUGCUGCAGGCUGUAGUCCGCCCAUAAAGCCCAUAAAAAGUCAGCCUUCAAAGCGCGAAAAUAAUUUCAGGAGUAUCUUCUAAAGACAAAGAUACGAGGCGCUAGCUUUAAGGUUUAUUUCCAACAAUUUUAAGUCUGAGGUACCACACCUGAUAGAAACCCCUGCUCAUUUUCUUGAGAACGUGCAAGAACCGGAUUAGACCUCUUAGAAUCUUGGGGCUUCUAUUCGAAUUGAAUUAUCAAUCUUCGUGCUUAGCAACAGAGCGAUGAAAGUUUGGAUAACUCGCUUCACAUAUGGAAGCAAUCACAAGAGGGUUAAUUUGAAAUAAUAUCGUCAAAUGGAAAAUGUGUUGCCGCCUCUGUUCUUGGGAGGACUCUUCGAAUGACACCAUUCUCUGUACGUCAACAUGAAUUACAUUGGCAAACUUACAAAGAACAGAAUCCUCGACAUAUCGUGUCACAGAACUCAUGAACUCUACUGAUUACCAACUUAUUUUUUCGACACGUUGUCAUUGCAGUCUUCAAAUGGAGGGGAGUAGACAUGAGCAGCAAAAACAGAGUCUUUCAGAUCUUAUACCAGUAAUUGACCUUGCAGCACUAAAUGGCGAUCAUAUCGACGAAUUUGAACGCAGGCGCAUUAUAACUGAGAUAGCUCAUGCAUGCAAAACAUGGGGCGCUUUCCAGCUGGUCAACCAUGGUAUUCAACCGCAUGUGAUUGAAAGGGCCAGAGCUAAAGCGUGCGGGGUGUUUGAAUUGCCAAAUGAAACACGGUGGAAGGCCAAACGAUCACCAGGCAGCUUGUCUGGAUAUGGAAACGGCGCUGUCAUCGCAGACGCAGUCAACAAUGAAAUUGCAUCCGAAGCCAUAACCUUCGGGUACCCAAAUUCUGAGGCUGACGUAAUUGCUAGCAUAUUCUGGCCUCGCGGAAACCCAGGUUUUAGGUAAGUAGCAAUCAGACCCACAACCUCAAUGGCACGAUAGAGCGUCCCUGGUUCUUUACACUCUAACGAAAAAUCUGCUUCUUUCAUCUUUCAUUAACCUGCACUGUGUGAUCAUGUUCUUACACUAAAACAAAAUGUUCGCUGGCCGCGUACAUGAUCUUCAAUAAGCACCUUCGAAUAAGGUCAAUACAGGUAGACUGACAUUUGCCAGUGUUGCGUUCAAACUCCAGUGCGAGCAUAGAUGAUUAUAAUGAGGAGUCGCAUGAGCUGGCCUUGAAGGUCGUGAGACUCAUGGUAGAAGGCCUGGAACUCCACGGAAACUUAGCACACUUUCAACCCUACUUGACAGAACAUUUUGGAGUGUUGAGAAUCAACAACUACCCAGCUAGCGAACACCCAACCCGAGACAUCGGACUUCCACCGCACAUUGAUGAUACCCUACUAACCAUAGUGCACCAAGGAUGUGAAGUUGAAGGACUUCAAGUUAAAAAAGAUGGCCAGUGGGUUACUGUGCCACCACGAGGCGACGUCAUGGUUGUCCUCGUGGCUGCCGUAUGCCAGGUACAUUCGAACUCCUAUAGGCUCCUUUAACAUCAGUUUUUUCGAAAUGCCUCUAAUUAAUUCUAAGAAAAAACUUGGUGAUGCACAAGCCACGAGAAACAGAAAUGAUUUUGGUAAUCGCAAAGUCGAAAAAUGCAUACCUGUUCUAACUUCAUCCUUCGAACCGAACUCGAGCUUGACGACUGAUUUUAUGAUUUGCAGGUGAUCACAAAUGACAACUAUAAAGCUGUCCUACAUCGAGCAGUGCCGAAUCGAGACAAAGCCCGGCUCUCCAUGGUGUAUUCGGCCUAUCCUCCGGCGAAUAUCUUUAUUACCGCUGCUCCAGAGUUUGUGAGCCCUGCACACCCUCCCCUGUACAAACCAUUCACAUGGUCAGAGUACCUAUCUGGUCAAGUUACCCACAUCCUUAACCCUAUUGAUGGCUUACAAACAGUUGAGAGGGAAGGAGAAACUCAAAAUCAAACCUCAGAAUCCUCAGAGAGCAGUAGUAAACUUGAUUAAAACAAAGGGAGUGAAAUUCAAAGUUCCCAACUCAGAAGCAUUAUCAACAUAUUUUGUUGACUUCACGAAAGAUGGUCAAUUUUGCGUCGUAAGUGAUUGCUGUAGUCAGCAACUGUAAUCUGAGUAUCACACAAUGCAGAACUCAUGCGAAACCUUGGCUUCUAGAUGAAACAUUCUUGAAUUUAAAUGUCCAAAAUCUUGAUUCACCUGAUUUGGAAUACAAAUGAAAACAUUUUGAAAUUCCUCAAACUUCCACUGCGGUUUGAAAUGAGGUACAAACUCAAGUAGUAAGCUGCCGUCAGAGGUGCCUGUUGCAAAGCAGAUCAAAUGCUCUAAACAGUGACAAGCCCACCUGCUGAGCUCUCAAGUAGAGAAAGUCAAUGCCGUCCAUAAGCAUUCUAUGUUGUUCUUCAUUACUGCGAGAAUCAUUACAAAAGAUUCUAAGGCAGUCCUCAUGCACGCAAAUAGUGACAAGUAGAGGGAAGAAGUGAAGGCCAAUACGAACAACAAAUUCAACUGGAUCUCUCAGCAAACAUGAUCUAGUGACACGAAGGCACAAAAAUUCGAGAUCAAAAAUCCUUGAAAAUGUAGAAAGGCGUGCACAAGAUAUCCCACAAAACACGCCAAUCCUUAAAGAAGAAGAUCCUCAAAUCCAGCGAGUGAAUCGUAAGUAAACGCGUUAUGCAUAGGAGGACCAAACAACGCAUGCUUGGAUCAAAUUUUGAGUGUAAAUGCAUGCAAAAGUUGCCUAAUCGUCAAAUUCUUUUCAGGAUUCGUUUACAAAACACUCGAGCUGCAAUAAGUCUACUUCUAUACAAUACGCUCCAACUCCCUAGCAUAACCUAGAGUUUGAUUGAUUAGCUGAAGAGAAGGAAUCUCUUUGCAUGGUGCAAGUUUCUUGGCUCUUUGAAAAUACACCCUGGUGCCGCGAAUCUCCCAAUCCGGAUGAUCCUGAAUAAUGUUCGGACCCAAAACAUUAUCAGUUGCAAAUAAGCAACCCCUUGGUCCCAUGAAAUUGAGAACGCAUGAAGGACUUCAACAGAAUCCGUAACACAAACUAAGAACAUGCAAGAUAUGGAAAUGUGUUACGUAGAAAUGUUAGAAAGAUGUGAGACAAGCACUUGUAGAAAUACUUACAUCCAGAACGUAUGCCAGCAACUCUUGAUCGGACGCAAACAUCAGUAUCUUCUUGGCCUCCACUAAUGACAACGAAUCGUACGCCUUCUCACUACAACCUGCGAUUUCAUCUCUGUGCACAAUGAAAUGAGUAAUUAUUGAGUACAUCAUUACCAUGAUCUUUGCAACAGUAAGAGCAUCCUUGCAAAAACGCAGUUUCUAGUCAAUCCACCGAGAAAGUCAUUCAUAAUUCCUUGGUGUAUCAUACCUGACAGUCUUGGCAAGAAGGUCCAUAAAGUACACAUAAGUUUCAUGUGGAACAGCUUGACGGGCACUUAGAACACGGUUGUAGGCGCCCUCCAUGAACGACUGCUCUAGCUCCACAGCAUGCUUUAUGCAUGAAUGAUCAUGAGCUGCAGGUGGUAGAAGCUCUAGCUCUGCAAACCCAUUCACACGCAUCUCAAUAGCCAGAUACAGGCAAAAAGAUACAGAAGGACAUCUACUGGCUUCAUGGUUGGUUCGAGCAGCUGUAACAAAAAGAGCUCACUGCAUACUCCAUCUUCGAAAAAGUAACUGCAAUAGAACAUGUUCAAUGCAGGAAAGAAAACAUAGUUUAGAAUUUAGUCAUUUCGAACGCAGUAUACUAGUGCAAAGUGGCCUUUACAGUUUGAAAAAGAAAAGAAAAGUGUGUAACCUGUAUGAAAUUCCGCAAUUCUGUUCUGAACUAACAGCCGCAGCAAGUUGAGACCUAAAAUGGGAUACUCUUGUCCGGACGGAGGAAUCACCCCCCUGCAAUCGAAGAACUGAUUAGCUAAAAACAUGACCAAACUCAAACAGAUAUGUGAAUUUCAGUUCUCAGACGAAUAUGUAAUACAUAAAGAAUUUAUAUGAAACUUACCAGGAGUAUUGAUAUUCGUACAGACUAAACAGGAUAAAUUAUGAGCAAUGGGCUUUUGCAUCAUCUUUAAAGAAACAAAUAGACCACCGACAAAAAAAAUCAUCAAAUGAAUAUGUGGUCAAAGUACGAUACGUAAAGACGAGAUCCUAAGAGCAAAUUUGAAGAUAAGAAUACUGACAAUUACAAACUUCGUCCUUCAGGAAAAUCUAAAACUCUUACCGUGGGCUGUUAAUCCUACAAUUAUCAGAAUAAAAGAGUAAAAGCAUACCUAGUAUCGGUGUAGUAUGACUUGAGUUGAAGAAAAUGGCGCUCAAAUGCAUCCUGAUCCUCCAUUUUCACACUCAAAACUACAGCAUGUUCCAAAAUAUCCCCUACAAACAAUAUGGACUCUCUGUAAGUUAGAAAACGAGUUAACAAAGAGAGGUCAUGGAGACUCCACACGAAUGAUUACACGUCAUUUGAAGAACAUGUAUGAACCAUGAAGUUUUGAAUCGAGGCAUUGUACGGCUGAACUAAAUGAUAUACACUGCACACUGUUGAAAUCCAAAUUGAGCUGAAUUAGGUUUAAAAGCGUGUAAACGGAAAUAAUCCACAAUAAAUUGAAUUGGAUAAAGCAACCACCGAUAAUGUACAUGCAAACAAACUUAAUGUAGCAGCAGCAAUAGCUACACAUACUUGCGAGAAGAAGCUCUUGUAUGGAUGAUGGAGACGAUUUAAACAGGGGUGGAAGACUAGGCAACUCAGUCAGCUUCACCUGCAACACUCAGAUACCGCUGACAUAAAUCACCGUGCAAUUCCAACUUUACUUGUUCCAACCUCUUCUUCUUCAAAAUCCGAGUCAGGUCAGCCCUCUUUUCCAAACACGCAUCAACAAUUCCUGCCUUCCUCCAGCACCAUCCAAACACACAACCUCAAAACCCUAACCCGCACCACCAAAACCUAACACAUUUCAAAUCGUUCGCCAAUUGAGCAGCAACCGAGUAUGCAAUAGAACCUUGAGCUGAGAAAGGAUGUUGUCGCUGGUUUCCGUAUCAUUUUUGUCGUAGGCGGCCUUGAACUUCUGAAACAACCGGGUAAUGUCCGCAAGCUUUCCCUCCAUUUGGAAGCGCGAGAAACCUGACAAAAUGGCUCAAACUACAGGAUAAAGAACACACUUCCGAUCCCGAGUUCGGAAAUCACAAAAAGAGAGAUAGUCGUGGAAUCGAUGAACCACAAGGUCGAAGAACAACAAUCAACUGAUCAGAAGACAGGAGAAGAAUUGUUCGGAAGCAAUUCGACCCCGAAGCUUCCACACUGGGCUCGCCGUUCCAAGCCCACACUGAAUUAUCUGGUCUGCCAUGUCAGCAUUCCAUGUCAGCUGAUUACCACGUACGCAAAAAAAAUUGAGUCAGCUUUGGUCAGAUGUGGUGACGUGUAUUGAUGACGUCGGUUCCGUAGACUUUUUCUUCCUCAGAAGAACUCAACUUUUAAAGUACUUUCACGAUGAUAAGUUAGCCUUUUGCCUCUGCGAUUAUUUUGGGAGCAGGAUGAUAAGUUAGACUUUUUCAUGUGAGGAAAAAAAAAACAAUUGCCCAAAGAAAAUCAAUUGUCCCCCAAAGAGACAUCAUGAACAAGAGACUAAAAAUACUCAUUUGUCCUUGGAAAAAGUAUGAAAAUCCAUUGUUUCUUACACAAUUUCUAAGAAAUUAUUUUAUUCAACGAGAUACAAAAAUACAUAUCUUAAAGUACUAAUUUUAAUUUUGUAUUUUCAUGAUGUGUUUCGUUUGAUUUAGUAUCAACUUGCAAUAUUUUCUUCAAUCUUUAUUUGAUUUAAAUUAUGUAUAAUAAUUGUAAAGAAUAAAUAAAAAAAACAAAACAAUACCUCCGAAUUAUAAUAAUAUGAAUUAAAAAUAAAAAUAAAAAUAAAACUUCAAUUCAUCAUGAUUUGAUAUAUUCUUAAAUACGAAAUUUAUCUGUCACUUUACAUUGGGUAAAACGUGAAAAUGUGGUAUUUUUUGUAUUAUUCUAUGAAAAUAGUUAUUUAAUCAAAAAAAUAAGUUUUACAAAAGUAACUCUUAUAUAUAUAUAUAUAUAUAUAUAUUUGUGUGUGUAUGUGUAGACUAAAUGAUUUACUUCCUAAAAAAAAUAAACAUUUAACACACAUUUGAAUUGAAAUUUAAAAAUAACACCAUCCUUAACUUCAAAUCUGUGUUGCUAAUUUCAAAUUCUUUCAAGUCAUACACAUACUAAUUUUACAACUUUAAUGCUUGUAUUGAUUUUGUUAGUUAUAUUUAAAGAGAAAAAGAAAUAAAUUGUGUACUAUUUAGAUAAAACAAAAAGUGAAAGAUCAAAGUAUGGUAUCACAAAUUCAAAAAAUGUCUCUCUCUCCCUAUAUAUAUAUGUAUAUAUAUAUAUAUAUAUAUAUAUCAUCAUCAUCAUCAUCAUCAUUAGACAAAUAUGGAACAAUCAUUAUUUAUUUGAUAUUUAAACUACAUUUAUUGUUGUUACAAAUGCAGAUUGUAUGCUCAAAGAAUUCAUUUUUUUCUUUUGACAAGAUAUAUUUUAAAAAAAUAUAUCUUGUUGAAAAACAUGUUUCUCAUAACAACCAAAAUCUUCUAAUAGUAUAAUUUAUUCAGUGUACAUACAAAUUUCACUUCAGUCUUAAAAAGUAUUGUAAAUCAAUAAAGAGUGUUUGGAGAAUUUAAAUGCUUGAUUUGAAUUUGAAUACAAUGUUAUGUUAGUUCAAAUUACAAUUCCUUUAUUAAAUUAUGCUUUUAUGAUUAAAUUCAAGUCUUUCCCAUAAAAUUUUCGGAUUAGAUCUUUUAAUACUGAUAAUUCGUUAAAAAAUCAAAUACCAGCUGUAAUAGAAUGUGAUUUUACGCUAUCAAUUUAUUCUGGUUUUUGUUACAAACUAGUCUGAAAAAUGCAAAUUGAUUACAAGAAAUGGAUGUCGAUUACUGUCUAUUUUAAAACACAAUAUCAUACAUGUUAAAAUGCAUAUUGCAACACAAAAUCAUCAAAGAAAAAUUAUUCCAAAUCUAUUUUAUUUUGAUUUUUAAACUUUUCAUUUGUCUUCUAGAUUUAAAUAUCACUUUAGAAUAGAAAUUCCACAAUUAUGUAAAAUCUUCAGGAAAUCCAAGUCACACAAAUAAAAUUUCAAUUGCUCAAAAAGUUUAAGGAGUUGUACUAUUUUGAAAAAAAGUAAAAAAAGAUUCUACACAUUAUAUUUAUACAUAGGGAAUUGUUAAAUUGACCUGUGCAUUUACUAAAUCAACCCACCCAUUUUUUCAUUGGUUUUCUACCAAACACAAA